ACAAAAAAAAAAGGUUAGCAUUAAGAAAAAAGAUGGAGCUUAUCAAGAAUUGGCCUCAUCACAAAACCUACCAUCUCAUAUUAAUCUCUGGAGUUGUCACUUCGGAGAUCAGGCACAUGUAUGUAUAAAGCUGCAUUUCUCCAGACAACAUAGAAUAUGCUACUGCAAUUGUAGAAAGAGAAUGAUGGAUAACCUGAAACCAAAUGCGACCAGUUGUGAGUUGCAAUGGCAUUCCUUCGAAGUCAGAACUUUUACUGCAAGCACUAUAUUGCGAGUCCUCAUUCGAGAGCUAAUUUGUGUUCAACUUUGUUCAUAUAAUCUGCAGUGCUGUAAAAUGUCCUCUGUCCUCUCUUAUUAAUCAAUUUUGUGCUGAUUCACCACUCUAACAUACAGAAACAGAAUCCCAAAUUCGUUUACAGAUCAAUGAAUCAGGGAUUCUGGGAUGGAUGCUAAGAGGCCGAGAAAAUCAAAAGUGAAAUGAAAGGUCAGACACCUCACUUCCUUGUGAGGAAAACUCCAUCAUGCAAGAUGAAUCGAGAGAAAAAAUCCAUAUGAAACAAAAAUAUCUAUAACACAAAGUAGUGCAGGAGGAAGUUAAUCUAAAAGCACAGCAGAAAGAAGACAAGCAUGCACAUGAAAACAGUUGUAUUGGGACGAAUUCUCAUUUUUUAAGAUAACAGAGAAACAAAAAGGUUCAACUUGUCUCCAUCACAUUAAAUGCACUCACAUACUCCUUUCCACCCAAAGUAGGAUAGUACAAAAAAAUCAUUCCAAGGUCCGCAAAGAAGUACCCAACAGAAACCUGUCAAAAAAAGCAAACCAUUUUAAUGUCAAGACUACUUCUUGUAAAAUUCAGGGAACAAAUAAAUAGAGAAGUAUAAUAUCAAGGAAGGCUGACAAAGUAUUCAUAGAGAUAUGAUAAAUGCAAAGAUAAUAGCUAAAUCGGCAAAAUACGAGCCUGUUGACAAUCGUGAGUCAAUUUUCCAACCAAAAAGAAAACUCUCUCAUGAAAUUAACAAAACUCUCACAUGUAAUUAGGGAUAGAUACCUUAUCUGGCCAAGAAAGAUUACUAAAACAACUCUGCAUACUACUAGUUCAAUCUGAAUCAGUGGAGCAUUUUACAUAUGAGAAGUUACACUAAACUGUGCGGUACCAAAACCAACAGCAAACACAUGGGAUAUGAGGUUAACAACUAAGGCAAACAUAUUGCACUAAUAGUUGAGUUGUUCAUACUCAGAGAACUGUUUUCAGAUCCCACGAUAUUAGAGAUCAUCUCAGGAAAAAAAAGGAGGAAGAAAAGAAAGAAAGAUUUGAAAUCAAGGGAAUCGACCAGAGAUGUGAUGUCAUUAAAUAUCACCAAAGCAGAGCUAAAAAAGAACUUACCCCAAGUCCAACAAUGGAGAAUUGUGAGCUUCUUAAUGUAACAAUGCCAGUAUGCUGAUGGUCAGAAAAGAGAUCUGACCAGAAGACAAAGUACAGUGACAUAGCCGUGAUGAAAACAGCAUGAAUUGUAGACAUACCUCUGCCAAAUUUAGGUCACUGAUUGUCAGUACAUUUAAAAUAGAUGACAGGGUGGUAAUAUUGGAACAUGCACUCACCGAUUGUUCCACUCAAUUCGUUGAAUUUUUGUAAGACCAUUAUAAGUUUUGAUGUAAAAAGUGCUGAUUAAUUGAGUGAGAUCAUAGGCCUGCAGACAGAAAAAACAUAGGCACGAACUAAUAAAUGCAGAAGGUAACAAAACAAAACCCACUUAAGGUACAAAAAAGCUUAAUGUAUUGGAAUUGCUCUAUCAUCAUAAAGAGGUAGGUGCAUGAUUACACCCUCCAUUGAAGCUAAAAUGAACAUAAUAGUGCUGGUCAGGCGACAACUCUCAAGUUCAAAACUGAUCUAAAAGGCAAGACAAUUACCACUUUGCAAGCAAAAAUGCCACCAAGGACGGAAGUGUAAGGAAUGAAAGGAUCUGCUAAUAAGUAAUUCUUAACUAAUGCCUCAGCCUGAUUUUGGUAAGACUUGAUAGCCAUAGCUGUCUCUGUAGACAUAGCCAUAUACAGACAAUCCUUUUGAUCAGCAGAUCUUCUCUUUGCUAUCUUCUACUACUUUCUUCCCUUUUAAUAUUGCCCUAUCAUUUCUUCCCUGACAGAAAUGAAGAAGUUAGGGCCAAAAUAAAAGGAUACCAUGAUGCAAAAACAAACCAGUUUUACUUCGUAUUUCCCAAUCAAAAGAAAGAAAGCAAAAUAAUCUGACAUAGUUUAUGCAUUUUCCAUAAAAGGAAAGGGAGCUACAAAGGUAAUCGAAAUUUCAUUGCCAUUUUCUACACGCAGAGAACCGCAUUUUCUAAUAGCAAACCAAUGAACAAAUAAACAAACAUGUUUAGCUUCAUGUAAAGACAUGAGCAAAUUGCCAUAGGAAUUGUAAUUCUCCAGAGCUACUAUUAGUCCUCGUAACGAUUAAAAAAUCCAGUUAAGUAAGAAGAAUCACCUAUAAACCAUCAACACGGGUCCCCAAAAUCAGAAAUUUAUUUGAAUCCAAGCUUUUUAAGCUUCCUCGUGUUACCGAAAUACAUCAACAACUAAAUUAAGACAAAACAAAACGAAAUGUAACAAAUCCUGAUAUAUCAUACAGUAAAUGGCAUCAAAUCACAGCAUCCAUUGACAUAAAAAAUCCAACAUUUAAGCCCACUUUGCAUCAUAUAAAAAAAAUACAACCACCCAUGUCACAAAAUUGCGAGAAAACUCAUACCAGUUAAUCGAAAAAUCAAAUCAUGCAUUAUAUAUAUAAGAAUCAAAUCCUACAUUACAAAACAACAAAGCCAAUAAAGAGAAAGCUUACCAGCAUUCAUAUAUUAUUGAAAAACCACAGACCAUCCUUUAUAGAUCAAGAGCCAAUGGCCAAAUGGGUAUCUAAGGCAACAAAAGAGAGGCCAAGUAGAUGACAGGGCAAAUGGGCAAAUGGGGUGUUUGAGAAUAUUAAAGAAAGAAAGCUAACGCAAAAGAACUCAACAAAAAGCGAAUAACCCACGAAAGAGAAGGGAGCCAAAACUCACGAGUGGAUGAGGGUGAGAGUGUUUGAGACCGAUAGGUAAUCAAAUCAUCAAUCAAUGCAAAAUGCAAAUCCACACUCACAAACGAGAGAAGAUGGCAAGCCGUGAGGUUCAAUCAAUGUGAAGGACUCUCAAUGGGAAUCUCUAACCGAAGAAAUGAAUAAAAGUUUGUUAUAGAAUUCAUAGAAACUGCAAAUCAGUCCAUCAAUUAUAAAUAACUUUACAUAUCGGUAUUUAAGGUCUUGAAUGGAUUAAUAUCACAUGAGAAACAUAAAAUUGACUAUAAAUUAUCUAUGAGAAACAUAAAGUAAUUCCAUAUUUAAAUAUAUUGAACUAAUUUUGCAUACUAAUAUUCUAAUGAGCCUAGAAAAUAGGAAAAAAAAGAUUUCAAUAACCAAUUAUCUGUAUUUUGUUUCUAAUAAAAGGCAUGAACACAAUUUUAAACAAAAAAAAAGAAAGUAAAUCUUAUAAAAUCAUGGAAGUGUCUAAAAUCUCAUUAGUAGCUUUUUACAACAAUAAUUGGGUUUUAAUAUACACGAGGAAUGGCACUAGCAUGGGUUCCUUGGGCUGCAUAUUUGCGAGCACAGGGAAGAGGUUGAUGUUGAGUAAGGUUUGAUGGUUUCAAACUCUCCUUUUUUUUUUUGUAACUUUUAGGGGAUUUAAUGAAAACAAUUUAUAUAGUAUAGGGAUUGAUGUGUAGAUUUUCAGAAAGAAAGCAAGUAGAAAUGAAAUUUGGAGUAGGGUUACAAUACGUGUGGACUUUUGCAAGGGUUAGGUCCCCAUGGCUUGCAUUGCAAUGGACCAUCCCAAGGAGAUGGGGUAGUGUGUGAGAAAAAAAAACUCCAUCGUUUUGGGCGGUUUUAUUGGCUUGGAUGAGAAAAAAACAAUGAUGGUGGUUGAUUGAUUUUACUGUAAUUAGAUUGAUUAUUAAUGUGGUGUUUUCUCAUAUAAUAAGUUGAGUAAGGUAGGUGAUGAGAGUUAUAUGAUGGGAAUUAAAUAAAUUGAUAGAUUCAAAUGGGAAUGGAUUAAAUUGUAGAAUAACAAUUACUUUAUAUCUAUAAGGUUUAGAUGUAAAAAUAAAUGGGUGGUGGGACAAAUGUUACCCUCAUUCAAUAAUAUUAUAAUGGUGAUAGUUUAACCACCUUUUUUCCUUUUUAUUUUUAUUUUAAUGAAAGCUCUAAGAUUUUUCUUUCAACCAUACGAGGGUAUAAGGGUAUCUUCAAAUUAAUUUGUGUGUUAACUGAAACUAGAUCUCUUUUUAGGUGAUCUUGGAAUAAAAAAAAUUAUAUAUUUUUUAAAUAUUGAUAUUUUAAUAUUUUUUAAAAAAUAAUAUUAAGAUGAUAAUUUAUUGAAUUGACUAGUAGAUUACUCUGUUAAAUAUACAAUUCGAGCUAUAAGACUAUGCUAAUCUUAUAAAAAUAAAUUAGAAUAAAUUAUAAAGUUGAAUUUCGAAUCAACUUAAUAUCAAAAGAUAAAAUUAAAGAAAAAAUAUUUAGUUUUUUUAAAAUAAAAUCAAUCCGGUUUAAUCUGUCAAAUCUGCAACUUUAGUCAUGAGGAUAGAUAGAAAAAAAUACAAAAUAUAAUUUUCAACUAAUCUAAAAAAAUAUGAUUGAAAAAAAAACAAAAAAAAUAUAAACCAACUUAAAUUAAUCCGUUAAAUAUAUAACUUAGUGUUAUGAGAGAUAUUUUUAUAUAAAAUAAAUUAUAAAAUUUAAUAAGAAUAAAAUUGAAAAAAAAUUAAUAAUAAAAUAUUCAUGCAUGAGUAUGGAUACUGUACCAUGAAUUUUAACUAGAUUACUACUUUGUGACGAAACUGCAUAUAGUUUCGAAAAAGAAGAGCAGAAGCCUGUCAGACAACCGCGUGACCAUUCCCAGCCAGGUUAGCGGCUAGGAAACGAUCCUCUACAGCCAAGAUGAUCACGAGGGCCAUCUAGCCAUUACUCACGCUAUGAUCACGCGGUCAUGGUUCCUCAACCAGGCUUAGGUUCCUGUCUCCUUAGUGAUUAAGGAUACAGAGGUACGAUCCUAUAGAACAGAUCCUGUUCAAGUAAGGUCGUGCAGUUACGGGCUCCUCGAACAAUUUAUUAACUAUAUUGGUUCUUAACUCUUUUUCGAUGUGGUACAAAUGUGGUCCUAGGUGUUUUUAUCCCAAGGAAAACGCUCUGUUCGUCUUUUUGCUUCAAGCCCCGGUAGUAUCCAAGGGGAGAGUAAUAUGAAGGUACGAGGAAGACCCUGAGCGGCUGCCGUGCUUUAGCGGUGGUAUUUUGUUAGAAUGAAACAAGCUGAGAUAAGAGCAUUUUCCAGGCACCGAAUCACUAGCACUCCUGCAGAAGGAAAAGCUGCAGACUUGAAUUAGUCUCUUGAUCAGUUGAGAUAACCUUAAUGAUGAUCAUCCUUUGUCCCUUCUCGCAGUGUCCAGAAACCCCACUUAUGAAGUAGGAAGACGCUGGAUAAUUAAGAUGGUAAACAGUGUUGGAAAAGAAGUUGGGGUGACGGGAGUGGCACUUCUUGCAAUCCUCUACCCUGACCUUCAUGACGGAAUCCUUCCUUUACUUGAAACCUGCGCCAAAAAAGAUGAACACCCAGGAAAUUGAAGGAAAAGGUAUCUCCAACUUGGAAUCGGUUCCCUAAGGCCCAGUCAACGUAGAUUCUGGUAUCAAUGGCAGGAGGGACAACCCAGUUUUCGUUGCCGCCGAUUUGGUAUUCAAAGGAAUAGACCGACAAGUAUCGAAGAGAAGUGAAAAUGACCGCCAAGAACAACGACUUUUGCUUGGGAGUGCUCAUGGUAUAACAGGAAGCCAAUCGCUACAGAAGCUAUCUUGCUGUGUACUGAAACUAUAGGGGGAAAAAAGAAAGAAAGGAGAACUUGGGAUUUGCCGUUGGAGCUCUAAUAAUGGGCUUCGUGGGAGUGGUGGCCUGUCAGACAACCGCAGGACCAUCCAUGGUUAAGAAACGAUCCUCCACAGUCACAAUCUAGCAAGCUAUGAUCACACGGUCAUCAUUCAUCUAUCAUAAAAAAAAGAGAUAAAAGAAUAUUUACUGCCUUCGUGAGAUAUCUCUCUUGCUUCGAUGUGGGACAAUAUUUUCCUCUUUGUUCAAGGGCAUUUUUGUCCGAGAAAAAAGCUUAGCUCACCGUUUCGCUCAAGUCCUGAUGAAUAAAGAAAAGAAUGAGCAAUGUUUGAACGAGCAUCUCGUUGGAUUCCAACAUUUUUUCAAGAAGAUGCUUCACAGUUAUUGCUCGAUGUGGGACAGUGUGUUUCUGUUUGCUUCAAGUCCUCAAAAAAAAACAAAUAAUCGAUACAAUGUGUUUCUGCCUUUUGUUUUUAUACGUAUAACUUCGAUUUUUUAGAUAAAAAAAUAACAAAAUUUUUAAUAUCUAAUUUUUUUUAGAUAAUAAAAUAAUAAGGAAAAUAAGAUUCAAUUAGUAUAGAAAAAAUUACAUGAUAUCGGAUCAAUAAAUAAAAUAAUAAUAUAUAUAUAUAAUGUGAUAAAAAAAGAGAGCAAUUCAUAUCUGUUGAAUGAAAUUAAAAAGAGAAAUUUAAAGGAUUAGUUUUAAUCACUAAAAUCAAAUGAUAUCUUAAAAAUAUAUUCACCAAACACAACGAAUGUAUUCCGUGUGGGAUCGAUAAUGUAUUUUAAUCACUGUUAUCAAAAUUCGUACAACUUCGUUUGUUUUGGUGUGGGAUAAUGUGUUUUGUUCAAGGAUGUUGGGCUUUAUUUACAACACAAUUUCUAAAUUAAAAUAAAAACAAUAUUGGCUGCAUUGUUUAGAACAACGCAGCUCAUUCUCCUAUGCUAUUUUUAAAAAAAUAUUUGUUGAGCUCCAUUAUUUUCUAUUAGGUUAUUUAUUUGGAAUGUCUUUGAUGUUUUAAUUGACCUUCACAAACGUUUUUUCAAGUUUACUAGCUAUUUCAAACGUGACAUGUACGAGUUGGAUAUUGUUUUUCAAUAAAAAAAAACUGAACGAACAAGUUUUUUCAACAUUUUUUUAAAUAAAAAAAUUAAAUAUAUAAAAAAAAAUUUAUGCAUGCAUAAAAUUAAACAAAACAAGAGCCAUUUAUAUCAAUAAAUGAAAAGAAGUAAGUAACAAUAACUAAAUAUGUAUCUUUAAAAGUCGAGAAAUGAUAUAAUUCAAGAUAUUUGAUCUAACAACACAGAUUAUUUACUUGAUUGUGUUCAAUGACUCUGCUUAUUAAUAUACAUUUUUUAUUUAAUCAAAUAACAAUAGAAAUAGACACAGAUAUAAUAUUGAUUGAAUAAAAUUAAAAGAAAAAAAAUAUCUCACAAGUUAUUAAAAAUAUUAUUCAAAAAUAAAUAUUUAUUAUUUUUAAAACUAAAUCUCAAUUAUAUAAUACAUAAAAAAAUUAUAAAUAAAUUAGAAUAAUAUCUUAAAAAGUUAAACACAUUUAAAAUAAUUAAAAAACAAUAACUAUUUAAGACAUGAUAAAAAAAAAAUAAGAAAUAAAAGAAAAGUUAUAUUAAUUUUAAUAUAAACUAUAAAUUUAUUUAUCAAACACAUAUAAAAAAGUAUUGACUUUUUUGAAAAAGACAAAAUUAUAUAAAAAAAAAGAGAGAGGAAAGAGGCCUGGCCAAUGUCUGGCUCAAUUAGAAAUGCCCUCGUGUGGGCCCUAUUUCCUUUUAAAAAAUAAAAUUAGGCGAACGAGCGCCCAAUAUUUUUAUGGAAAAAAAUCUCUAGUUAAUGUGUCAUCUUGUUUUGCCAAAAUUUCAGUCCUUAAGGUGGCUGAAAAAAUAAAUUUUAUUUUUUUAUUUAAAAAUUUAAUUUUUAAUUUAAUUUUUUAUCAAAAUACUUAAAAAAAUAAUUUAAACACCUUAUUAAAUCUAUAGAUUACAUUAAAAAAAAACACACAAGAAAUCAAAAUCAAUCUAAAAUAAAAAAUCUUCUCAGCUUAAAUUUGGCUUUUUAUAUAGUUUUAAAGUGAAAAAAAUAUUUAAGUUGAAUUCUCGUCAUGAAAUAGAUUUUUUUAACAUUAAAAUAGAUAAUAUUGAUGGACAGAGUUCAUAGUUGAUGAUUUUUUUCAUUAAUCAAAUUAAAAAUUAAAAAAAUAACAAAAAUAAAUUUCAUAUUGCAAUUGAAUUGCAAAGCUAUUGGAUUUAAGUACUGUUUAACGAAAACGAGUCCGAGCUGCGAGUGGGAAGAUAACCGAAGGCCCUUAGGUGCGACAAUCAGCACCUGUUUUCUUCUCACGUUUUUGCAUCAAGUCCUGAUAAAAACAAAGAAUGGAUGGCAUGCAGCGCGAGUCAAUGGUGCGACAGUAUAUGGCCCUCCAACUCACCCACCCUCCAACAACAUCUCUUCAAAGAAAUAUAUGAUUUACUCUGUUUUUUCAAGCAAAGAUUUUUAUUCAUUAUACUCUUGGGAGCAACGCCAAAAACGUUUGUGAGACAUCAAUUUCUCUUUUUUUUUUUUUUUUAUUAUUAUUUUUGCUGGUGAGUUUUCCACUCCUUCCCGGGCACUAAAGACUGCAGUUUACAAGGAUGGAGAAACUUUAAAUUAAUUGCGUUUUCUUUUCUUCAUAAACAGAGUUCGCUUUCUGUUCUAGGGAAGGAACACUGAACAUCAGUGCAGUAAUGAGUCGUAUCUUUUUAUUUCAUUUCUAGGAAUAUGAUAUUCCUAUUUCCUUAAGAAUUAAUCACAAUAUUUCUUUUUUCUUUAUAUGUAUAUAGAAAACAGUAAAUUUUACUCUUCGAAUUUAUUACAAAUUUGCAGAUGAUCUUCAGAUUAAAGCAAAACGCAUAAAUUCAACCAAUUCUUUGUUUCAUUUUAAAUCAGCUAGGACAAGUUUGUGUCAACAUUGUAUUUAAUUGAGAUUACAACUUAAGCUAAUAGAGACUAUUUUUUUUACAUGAUUAUCACUAAAGAAAAUUUUGCAUUAAAAAAAUCUCAAGAGCUUCGUAUCUAUCGUAGCAUCAAUGCAAGGACAAUGGUACCGAAUCAACAAUUUAAAUGACAGUGAUGGUCAUUGUAUCACUUAAUUACCCAAGAUUUGAUAAGAGAUAUCAACUUUUAUAUUAUUUAGAAACACUUUAUUUAACUUGAAAGUAAUAGCUAGUUAUAUUCUAGAUUUACUCUUUAAGAUUUAUUUAUUCAAAUUUUAUAAAUUUUAGAGUUAUUAGAAGCUUAUAUGGUCAUUAACUUUAAAGCUCGUGAGAUUAGUCGAUGUCCGUGCAAGCUGGCCCAGACACCACGCUAAUCAAAAAAGAAAAGAGCACUUUAUUAACUCCGAAGGGUAUAGCUUAAUUGGUCAGAUCCUGAGUUUGUUCUAUAGAGAUCACUAGUUCGAGUUUCAUAAAUUUCAAGGCCACUGAAGGCUUACAUGAUCGUUAACUUCAGAGCCCAUGAGAUUAGUCGAUGUAAGCACAAGCUGGCUCGGAUAUCUAUGUUAAAAAAAAAAACUUUAUUUGAAAAUAUUAUGAAACAUACAGAAACUUCAAUUUAUCAGUAGUUAGGCCUGUAGAUAAUAAUUUAUUUUAAAGAGAUAGAACUAAUAAAGUGUUGGAUAAUAAAAAACAAGGUGAGAGUGUCACUCUUCUACCCCUAUACUUAGAUGUCACUGCAUCAAUUUUAUCAAGAUGAUUAUCUAGUCCAUCUAAAAACGUGUAAACCAUAUACUAUUGUAAAAUAUAAUUAUAUCUUUGUAAAUCAACCUCACAUUUCAUUGGAUUUCGGCGGCAAAAAUCAAUUUCUGUCCAUAGACAUUGAAAAUUGUUGUAGCGUGUCUAUCCUCCAAACUUGUUUAAGUCUUAUUAUGUUCCUUUUGAGAUCAUAAGCUUGUGAGGUGUCAGCGCCAUCAAAAUAUAUUGCAGCGAUGGCAUCCCAUUCAGCUUUCGUAGUUGUAAAUAUGAUGCAGUUAUUGUGGAUCCAUUGAAUUAAUAGCCAUCCCUUCACAAUUGCAUUUUCUAUUCUUCAAAAAAAUCCCUAUAAUCUCUCAAAGAAAUCUUUUGUCGAUGACUCAUGCCAACAACCAACACUUAAAUUUAUAUAUUAAAUAUCAUAAUUUUGUGAACUCAUAGAAACUUCGUAAUUUUUAAAUAGAUACCUAAACUAGUCUAAGAAGCUGAAUAGGUCAUCAUAAGCACUUGAUGAUCUUAUGGCUCUUCCAUUAAAAAUAACAAGACAAGAGUUGACUCUGUAAGAAGAUGGCCAUCAAUGCAAUUUUUUCAAUACAUACAUGCAAAAUGAAGCCCAACAACACUAUUGCUGGCACAAACUUAUUUUAGUUAAUUCACUUAAAUAAUUAAACUAAACUCAUCAUCAGAUUGUGCUGGCAAACUUCUUGGAAGCGAAUCAAUUCCUUGCUGUGAAGCUGAUGCUGUGGAAUAAGAUCUCAAUUGCACAACCUCUUGCUUUUCAAGCUCAAGCACGCGCUCAAGCACUCGCUCAAGCACUUGCUCUUUGCGCUCAAGCACUUGUUCUUCGCGCUCAUGCUCUCGCUUUUUACGCUCAAGAUCUGGCUCUGUAUCUAGAAAUAAUAUUGUUUUUAAAAUGAUAUUGUUUUGUUUAAAUUUUUUUUGACAUUAACAUUUUAAAAUGAUCUAGAAAUACAAAAAGAAAUAAAACAUUAAAAUAACCAAGGUUUAAAUAAAAAAAUGUGUGGUGUAAAAACUUGUGCAACACUGGAUAAAGAAAAUGUACGUAAGGCAUUUCUGAAAAUAAAACAACACAACGUGAAUAUAAAAAAUACAUAGCUUAUAAUAUUAAGAUUAUUAGUUAGACAGAUUAUUAAAGACAUUGAAUUUAGCGGAAAGUGGCAAAGUGCAAAGCAUGGAAAAUUAACAGGUUAUUAAUGUCUUUUCCUUUGAAGAGAGAGAGAGAGAGAGAAAACCUCGCAGGAUAAUAUUAAAAAAAUAUACUAAAAAGACACAAGUGAUUUAUUGUGCAAAUGAAACAUUAUUUUUAAUUACUCUUUUAUCUUUAUUAAAAGAAUAUUAUGUUUGCAAUUAGAGGUCCGUACAAUUAUCUUUACCGAAAGAUGAAUUAGUCAUUAUAAAAUUUAUAAGGAUAGAAUGGUCCCGACAUGUAUCUUUUGCUAUAGUGUCAUAACUUAUUUGCACUUGAAAACAAGAAAAAUAAGGCUCUUUUAUCUUUUGCAAAAACAAGAACAAAAACAAGGUUUCAAAGUAUUGAGAUGGAAGUGGAACAUACCUUGUUGGGACUCGACCCUGACAUGUCUUCAAUACCUUCCAUAUAUUUGUCUCUAGCCUUGUCAUAUUCUUCUAGCUCCUCCUCCUUGUGAUAUUAAUUGAAUUUAUUAUCAAAUAUUCAAGUAGUCAUCCGUUAAUAAAAGCAAAUAUCUAAUAUUAAUUAUUUAUUUUAAAUUUUUUUAGACGCAAAGGCAUCAAUAUUACAAUAUAUAUAUAUAUAUAUAUAUAUAUAUAUAUAUUAAAAAGACACUAGUGAUUUAUUGUGCUUCUAGACAUAAUUUCUUUAGUGCUUCUAGACAUAAUUUCUUUACUAUUUUACCUUUAUUAAAGGUCCAAUUACCUUCACCAAAGAAUGCAUUAGUCAUUAUAAAAUUUAUGAGAACAAAAUGGUCCAGAUAUAUUUAUUUUGCUACACUGUAAAAAUUAGGCUUCGGGAAAAAGGCUCUUUGAUAUUUUGCAAAAACAAAAAUGGUGUGUUCACAUUCAUACCCUUUGACCCUAAAAAAAUUAAGACUGUUAGCGAGCGUGUUUUUGUCCUUUUGAUAUGGAUUUGCUGUAAUUCUCAAGUGGUGUCAAGGGCAUUCGGGUAUUUUAAUAUGCAUAAAUUAUUAUUUAAAUUUGAAGAUGGCUGGCACCUAUUUCGAACAAGCCAAUAAGUUGGCACCUCUUAUUUUUUUUUGGAUGGUGCAUGCGACGCUUAAAUUACACCGAAUGUUGCGGUGUUUGUUGCACCUCACCACCCAUAUCACAGUGGUGAGGUGCGUGUUCACGGUCGUGAUACAGAAGAGCAUUUGAUGCGAGUUUUUCCCUCCCUCCCUCCCUCCUCUUAGAAUACCGUGUUGGCCAUUGAAAAAAAACAAGAAAGCAUGAUUAUUUUGUUUGUUAAGUUAAAUUAGGUUCUUUUUUUUUAUUGCAAUGUAUUUGGUCUUGAAUUAUUUAUUGGGUUAAUUUAUUUUUUUUAAUUUUAUCUUUUAACAUUUGAUUAUAUAUGAUUUCGUUUUCAUUCUUUUAAUUAAAAUAUAUUUGGUCUUGAAUCAUUUACUAAGUUAUUUUUUUAUUUCAUACCUUUACACUUGAUUUUUUGUAUUAGAUUUUAUUUUCAUUCUUUUAAUUAUGGUGUGUUUGGUCUUGAGUCUUUGAUUAAAUUAAUUUGUUUUUGAAUUUCAUCCCUUGAUAUUUUUUUUGGUAUCAAAUAUGAUCCUCACUCUUUUUAUUGUUAAUUUAAGUUGUUCUUAUCUUUUUAUUUAUUGAAAUUGUUUCUCAAUUUCAUUCCUUAUAAUUUUCUUUUAUUUUGUGUGUCAAAUUUGGUUAUUUUUCUUUUCAAGUCUAUAUUUUUUAAACCACUUCUUUUUUAAUUUGUUUUUUCAAGUUUAUCUCUAAUUAUUUUGGUUUGUUGGGGAUUUUGGAUUGUUAUUUUUUUGGAUUUGCUUUUUAUGUUAUAAUCUGGCCUCAUAUUCCAUAUCACCAAUUCUUAUAGUUGAAUCGAGUUGGCUUCAGUCAUUUAAAAAAGAAUAAAAAUUGCAUCCAUCAUCAUUAAGUUCGUUGGAAAUUGUUUUUUUAUUCUUUUGUGAAUUUAAUUUUUUUAUUUUAAUUUUAAUUUUCAAUUCAAUAUUUGAUGAUAUUUGAGAUUUGACCAUCAAUAUUUUGAUUUCUAAUUUUUUAUCCUUUACCUUUUUUAACAAGUUUUAUUUUUUAUCCAAUUUCAUUCUUAUAUCAAUAAUCUAGAUUUUUUUUUAUUUUUUUUAAGAUUUGGUCCUCAUUUUCUUGGUUUUAAUUUUUUAUUUUGGAUUCAUUUGUUAAUUUGUUUUUUUUUUAAAUUUUGCCAUUCAAUUCAGAAUUUUUGUUUAUCCUUUUAGUUUUUUUUUCUUUUCAAAUGAGGUCCGUACUCUCUCAAAUGCCUUUUCUAACCCUUUAAAUUUUUUAUUUUAUCAUUUGAUAUUUUAUUUAUAUGGAUUUGGUCUCCUUGGUUUUUUCUAUUUUUUCUAUGCCCUACCCAGGAGUAAAUUUGAGACAAUUAUGGGGUCACAUGUUGAGUGAGUUGACUUGAGUGAACCCAAGUCAACCAAAAUUUUUUUUUAGUAUAAAAAAUUUAAAAUGAUAUCAUUUUAAAUAAAAUGAUAUCAUUUUAAAUAAAAUAAAAAAGGAAAAUAGUCAAUAGGUUUUGACCCUAUUUUGAUUGGAUUUUCCACGGGUUAACCAAAAGAUGGUUCAACCCAGGUUUUUGGUUGUCUUACAGUUGAUUAAUGUUCCAUAGGUUUAUUUGAUGAUUGUUGUUAUUUUUUUAUUUUUCUUUUCAAUAAGGUUUUUUCUAUCUGAUGAUCCAUGUAGGAGGUUUAUUCGGGUGACCCAGGUUUUUUCUAAUGUCUCUUUUUCAUCCUUUUUUAUUUUAUCCUUUAAUAUUCAAUUAUUUUUACAACUAAACUUUUUUUUAUAUUUUUUUAUAUUGAGUUAUCAUAUCAAUUUGAUUAUACUCGUGGGUUUUGACAAUCACACUUGUUUUUGCUCAUGCUUUGUUUUUUAAUAUUUUUUUCAUUGAUUUUUUUCUAAUUUUAUUUUUCUACAUUUUUAUUCUAAGGGAUUAACUGUCAUUAUUUUUUUAGCUCUUUUUCUAAGGUGUUGAGUCUUGAAUAUUUUUUUUCUUUAAAAUCUAAUAUCAGUGCUUGGACAUUGUUUUUUUACAUUAUAAAAAAAAAAAUCAGCCCGGACAACAACAAAGCAUCAGCCCACAGCAAAGUGUCUGGUUUGUUACUAAAAAAAAUUCAUUUUACCAAGGAUAAAAAAUCAACAAGGCUGGACACAAUAAUUGUACUGACUUGGAAAAGCUCUACCUUCCAUUAUUUGAAAGGAGACAUGUAUGGGUGUACUUUUGUUUUCAUGGUAGGUACUACAAUCCAACAAUUUGAAUAUAAAGAUAGGUAGAGUAUUAUAUAUCUGACCUAUAUAUAUAUAUAUAUUGGACCUCCAUUUUUGAAUUUACAUGUAUAUUUAAUUAUUAUUUAUAUUAUUUAAGAAUAAUUUUGUGAGAUAAUUAGGGUAAAGUAAUUUGAUUUUUUUAUGGACAAUACACUUUUUUUUAAUGAAAAUGUGCCGUGCAAAGAAUUGUAUCCAAUAAAGAUAAGUAUGGAAAACUAAAAAUUAGCUUCGAUUGAUGAUUGAUGGUAAUGCUAUUUAAAAAAACAUACUUGUAAGGGUGUACAAUACACCUUUUUUUUUUAUGAUUGAUGGAAUAUUAUCCUUUUUCAAUUUGUAACACUCAUAGAGCUUAAACUUUUUCAAUAUUAUCCAUCUGUUACCCUAAUUGUUAAAAAGCUUACUGUUUAAAAUUGGUUUUUGAAUAUUUUUUUUUUGUGGAAAUGUUUUUAAGCAAAUAAUAACAUCUAUGGGUGUACGAGAGUGGGUAUAUGAGAGGAAGUAAAAGAGAGAUGUAAGGAAAAUUGAAAGUUUUGAUAGUUAUUUAAAAAAGGGAAAAAAUGGAAACUAUUUAAGAAAACUAUAGGGUAACUUGGAAGGUUUUAAAGUAUUGAUAUGGAAGUGGAACAUACCUCAUCGAGGCUCGACCCUGACGUGGCUGCAAUGCCUUCCAAAUAUUUGCGUCUAGCCUUGCGAUAUUCUUCAUACUUUUUGUUUUUGUUGAAGAUUGCGGUGAAACAUCAAUCAAUUUAUUGUCAGAAAUUGAAGUAGUUAUAAGUUAAUAGAAGCAAAUAUCUAAUAUUAAUCAUUUAUUUCAAAUUUUUCUUAGGCACGAAGGCAUCAAUGUUGACUAGACUCAUGAUCCACGUGGAUUAAUAAAAUCACUUUAUUAAUGAAAUGAAGAAAACGAAAUGAGAACAUUGAAAUGGAAAUAAUCUGAUUUGUUAUUUUAUUCUGACGCCUAAACAAAUUUUGCCGAAACAUAUAAUUACUAUUACUUAUGAAUUUCCAAAAUAAUGAAUUAAACAAAAUAUAUAAAUUGAAAUAAUCUAAUUUGUUAUUUUAUUCUGACGCCUAAAAAAAUGCAUUAUCUAUCUAUCGAGGUACUUGAGAAGGAUUUUUGGUAUUCUUACCAUUUCAUUAAAUUCAGAAAAUAACAAGAAGUCGUUUGAUCCGUUAUAUUCGUACUGUUCGCUCAAGCCAAGAUGUAGCACGAGAAGGGAGACAUGAGUGAGUAACUCUCCACCUCUUCUCAGUUGUUGAGUAUGUUCUUUCCAUGGACAAUGAGCUGCUGCAUAUGCUACCAUUUCUACCCAAACUUCAUUUAUCAUCCACCAUCGCUUCUCGGGUCCCAAUGAAAGCAAUUGCCUGGCGAGCGCAUACACACCACGUAACACUGACUUUUCUAUUUUCCAGAGAGCUUGAAAUUCCUCAUCAUCAUAAACACGUGAUUCUCUGUUGCGCAAUUCUAGCAAGGUAUUUUGAUAGUUUAGACCCCGCAAGUCUCGCAAGGUACGUUGAUAUACCUCGUCACAGAAUCCUUUAGAGAGCAUAUUUGGUCUUAUCACCAAAAGAUACAUCAUGUAUUCAGAUAGGCAUCUGCUUGCUUCAUAUUCUUUGGAGACAUUGCUUCCAUCUUUAUUAUCAUCAAGAUAACAAAUAUCUGUUGCGAGAUGCCAGACAAGAAUGCUCCGACUGAAUUCUACUUCAGUCGUGCACCACUUGUAGUCCCGUAACAGUCCCUCUCUUUCUAGCACACCAUCUCCCCUCUGACCUAUUAUUUUACUUCUGUCAUUCUUAUCAAAGAAAUUCAAAUCUUCCUUCAUCUUCUCAGCUUUCUUUAGAAGAUGUCCGAAAAUAAAACCCUGUAGAUCAACAUUCAAAUCUUUCCGAUUCACAUGCAUCUGCCUCAUCAUUUCAUCGAUUCCCAGAAAUUCCAAGAAUUUAGGUGGCUCUCUUUCAAUGGAAGAGCUUUUCAGGUUAUACUGUGAUAUGGAUCUCGACCACCUCUCGCCUCUCGUUAACUUCCUUAUCAGAGAAUAAGUUGCUUUAGUCAGGCCGUUCCCUCCUUUAUCAAUCAACCAAAUCAUUGUCCAGUCAGACAAAACAAGGCAUAAAAAAGCAUAAAACUCGAGAAAAACAGCGGCCGCAAACAAUAAAUACGUGAUUGCAAUGUCGGUCUUUGAGUAGUCAUGCUUGUCAAUCUUGACCUGGAAGGUAAUAAACGCAGUAACACAGAGCAGAGAGCUGAUGCAGCGAAGAAUGAUUCCGGCACGGGAGUAAAUCAGAGGCGCUUUAGUAUAAAGCAUAUCAUAUAUCAAUCCAAGCUCAGCCUCUACCACCUUGAAGGCACCGUAUGCAUUAUUCUUGGAAAUCAGCUCCCGGCUUCUUAUUAGUGAAGAAAUGCCAGGGACAAGAUCCUGCAUCACAAACUUGGAUAUAUAUGAAAAAACAUAAGCUUGAAGAAGAUAAUUUUCCUGGAGAUCUUGUGGAGGAGUUUUUGAUUUUCUCGAACGAUUAUAAGAACGCCAAAAACCUCUGAGAGAGGAGUUUUUCAAACUCUUGGAGCAUGAAGACCAGAGCACCCAAGUCCUCUCUGCAUACUUUACAACGCCAACAACGAACACUGGGAUCGCUAUGAAUGUGAGGAUACCGCUACCCCAGGACCUUGAGAAGACAUAAAAAGCCACUCCGACUUGGACUACAAGACCAAGUAAAUGCCGUUUCCACAACUCGUUAUCUUCAAUCGAGUAUGCAGUGAUUGUGUCUGGGCCACCAAGGUGCAGGAGUAGAAAAGGUGCCCAAAAUGCCUGGAUGGAAUUGUUCGCAUUCUCUGAACUGUCACCUGAUGAAUCUCCUUGGCUCUUGGCUAGAUUACCCAGGGCAACAGUUGCCACCACGUCUGCUGAUAGGUAUGCAGACCAAACGAGCAUCCUGAUCCAGCUUCUGGCAUUGGUCUUUCGCCGAGACCCAAAUAUGAUGAGGAUGGUUUGUAGUAAGAGACUAAGCAAAACCAUUCCUCGAAUCUCCCAAUUGUUCCAUAAAUUUAAGACUUCUUCAGGCAAUUUUUUAAGCAUUGUCAUCUUUUCCCCAACUGUGGAAACUAGUUCUCUCGCUGAACACUUGAAAAACACAGUUUGGUAAGAUGAAAAGGUAAAUGUGGAUAUCUUUGAAAAAAUCUCUUAAAAUGAACAGCGAAAAUUAAAGGCUCUUACGAGAAAAGAAGAGGUGCAGAUGGAGGAAGACAAUGAACAAUUCUGAAGCCUUCUGCAAUUCUGAAAAAAGCACAGCCACCACAAUUCUGAAGCUUCGAUACCACGACUAGAGUUAAAACCCACCAAAAAUAGUAGCAAUAAGAGGUGCAGAUAGAGGAAGACAGAGAACAACCACUGCCGUUACCCACAUCAAAUUAUCGUCAUGAAGUCUUCCUCCCUCAGUAAUCGAUUAAAUGCAAUAUGAUUUCAUUAAAUUUGGGUUUUUUUUUUUAUUUAUGAGAGGUUCUUGAGAUGGGUUUACGUUGGAUAAGUGGAUUUGAAGGAAUCUGGAGAGGGAGAGAGUACUUUACUAAAAUUUUCUUUUAACUAUGAAUUAUUUUUCAAAGGAACUUUUCUAACAAUAAACAUAAAAAGUUUGGAUACUAUAGCCGUAGAGUCCAAACGGUAAGAAGACAUUGACCAUAUAAAUAGUUGGCUUUGCACUGUUCCAUUCUACACUUUACAUGGGAAAAGGAUAGCGAGAAAGGAAAUUGGCAUCAUACCUCAGUGGAACUUGACAGGACAUGUCUGUAUUAUCUCUCAGAUAUCUAUCAAUGGCCUCACGAUGUUCUUCCUCUAUUUUUGUUGAAAAUUGCAGCCCACACGCAAAGCCUUUAAGCGCUGAGACAAUACCUGGUCUUUUCCUCCUUUUUUUUUUUCUAAAUGUUUUUUUUUAAAUUAAUGUCUUUUCUUAAUAUAUGUUUUUUCAGAAUGAUUUUUAAAUUUAUAUUUAAAUUAAAAAAUCUUCUCUUUUUUUUCUUCAUUUAAAUAGCAAUUAUUUUUUAUUAUUUUGUAUGCAUUUAAUUUUUAAAGAGAUUAUUUUAAUUCAUAUAUAAUUGUUUUUAUGUUUUAAAUAACAAAUAUUUAUUUUUGGAUAAUAUUUCUAAUAUAUAUAACCUUGCAUAAUUUUUUUAAUUCAAUCAAUUUUAUGUUUGUCUAUUUAUAUUAAUUUUUGAAUAAAUAAACAUUAUGGACAAUGAAAGGCACUGCCUGCUCGGAUUAGCAGAUGAUCUCCUGCCAAUAUUGCAUAAUCGAACUACUUUAGUUCCCAGCUCUCUUAAACUUCUGCUUGGUCCAACAUGUCUUAAUUUCAUCACAAGAAGCCGCUUUGGGAGUCGCUUAUUCCAGCAUCGACUCUAUACUCACCCCCGGCAUAAGAACAAGCAAGUCUUGCGAUUUGAACGGCAUGCAAAAUCGCUUUCACAAACAAUAGUUACAUGUACAAGUAAGAAUUUGGUACCUGUUAUGGGUACAAAGCAACGAAGAGAUGCUAAAUAGUAAUAAAGAUAAUCAAGAGACUUUAAAUUUGUUAUCUAGGCUUUGAUAUCAAAGAUUCUAAUACUAUAUCAAAAAAUCAUUUUAAUUUUAUAGUUUAAUUUUCAAAAUAUAAUUUAUAUUAUUCUUUAAUAAAAAAAAUUACUCUAGAGUAUCUUUUUUGUUUUUCCUUUUAUGAAGGUUAAUCUGUACUUGAUCAUCAUUUUGUGCCGAAAAACCUCCUAUAAAUGCUCUACGCACCUGUUGAUGUUGUGUUAAAGCAGUUAAAAGAGAUCUCAGUUGCACAAUCUCAGCUAAAAGAGAUUUAUGUUAUUCUCUUGCUCUUUUGUUUGUUGUAUUAAAAAUUAUACUUUGCAUUCUUAAAAUUCAUUCUAUCAAGAAUUUUAUCAGUUAAUUGACAUAUAUGCAAACUAUUAAUCAUUUCUUUUGUUUAGUCAUUGCAAAUCAUUUCAUUUUCACCACAAUAUACAGACUAAUUUUGUUAUAUCUGAUUAAUUUUUGUUGGAAGAAGCACGAAAAUUAGAGUGUAACAGUUUUAUAAAUAAAAAAUGCAUGCAUGGUGUAAAGUUUUAAAAAACACACAAUUAAAAAUGUAUCGAGAAAUAUAAAAAAAAUGCGGUGGAUUUAUAAAUUUAAUCAUCAGAUUACAAAAUAAAUUAGUGAAAAUAAAAGGAUUAGAAACACUCAUUAAUAACACUACAAUGUUCAAUCAAUAUGACUUUGAGCGUGGUAAUUCUUCUACGAUGAAAAUAAAAGGAACAAGUCUCAAAUUAGACUCCUAAUUAUAUGGUGGGUUUCAAUUGAACGCUCUAAGAAAUUAAUUUUCAAUUUGAUCCCUAGUUUUAAGAAGUUUUAAAUUUUAUCCUUUCAUCUCCAAAAUUAGGACAAUAUUUUAAUGAAAAACAUCAUGUUUCCUUCACAUUAACAAUAUCGUUUUCAUUGCAUAGAAUGUGCGUUCUUGAUGAAAUCUAUUAGAAAAUGUGGAUGGAAGAACUCAAUGUGAAGUUUUGAACCUUUAGAGAUCCAAUUUCUUAAAGAUAAAUUUAAUUAAGAUAUGGCUCAUAAUUUUGAUAUUUUUUUAGCCUUGUCCCUUGAUUUGGCUUCCAAAAUUCCAAAAUAAUAAUAAUAAUAACAACAACAAGAAUAAUAAUAAUUAAUAAUGAUGUGGAUAAUUGUAAUAAACAGUGUUUAAAAGAGAGUUUUGCUAGCAUUGUUCAUGUCUUCGUAACAUCCUAAUUUUAAUUAAGAUAUGGUAGUUGGCUAGGAUACGAAGCAAAUAAUAGCAAGUUGUAAGAAUGAAGAAACUUUAAAUUAGUUGCCUUUUGAUUCCUGAAGGACAGAGAUUGCCUUCUUUUUUGGGAAACUUUAGGGUGCACUGGCUUGGGUACCAAGCAAAGAAGAGAUACUAAAUAGUAAAAAAAAAUGCAGUUUACAAGAUUAAAUUGGCUAUCCUUUCUCUUGAUGGCAGAGUUUUCUUUCUUUUUCUGGACACUUGAAAGAAGGAACACUGAAUAUCAUUGAGGCAAGUAGUAUAUUCUAGCUGAAUUUCUUGUAGUAAGAUGCUUGAACAUUGAACUCCCUUGAAAAUCAUGUAAAAUUAUUGUUGAUUUAAUAACUUAAAAUAUUUAGUUAAGAUGGUUCUUCUAUAUUCUUAACAAUAAUAUCGAAUUUGUUUUUAAUAAUUCAGUAAGCACACUAUCAAAGCUUCUCUUGAAAGACUAAAAGAAUUCACAUUCAAGCUGUGAUCCAAUAUUACAGUCAUUUCCUAACUUCUGAUCAAUUCUAUGAUAAAUGCAUACAACUUUUGGUAAAAUUAAUUUAUUAAACCAUAACGUUUCUUUCUCUUUCUCUCUCUAUUUUUUUUUUGACAUGAUUUCUUUGGAUAAUUUAGUUUGAUAUCUUCAUAGGAAUUUUGUGAGGUUUGGUUUUCUUUGGAGGAUUUUUAAAAAAACAGAUAUUUCUUGGACGUUAAGGGAUUUCGGGUUUGAGUGUGAGAUAUUUUAUUAGGAGGUUACUUUUCUUGAGAGGAUUUAUUGAAUAUUACACAAUUAUUAUUUUGGGUUAAAUGGUAUCAAGAAUUGGAAUCUAGUUUAAAAGAAUUCGCCAAUCGGUAUCAACACACUCAUUGGUCUGGUGGCUGACGAGUCCCCUCUCGUUCUAUCAAUAAAACCAGAAAGGAUGUGAUCUUUUGUUUCAAUUGUUGAACAUGACAAUUCAAAAGACAAAUGAUGCUCAUAAGAACUGUCGCGAGGGGCAUGAUGUCAUCUGGCGAUGGCGGAGGCUCUUGUCGUGCCUCCUGAUGAGGGGUGUUGUGUGUUGGAAAAUUAUGAUUAGUUUUUGGGAGUCGCCACCUAGUAUUAUGGUUACUAGGAACCUAUGGUCUGCGAAAGUCUGAGUAAGGGACUGGUUGUGCAAGGAGAAGAUGCAUCACCCCCAGUGCACCCUACCUAAGGUAAGCUGCAUUGUUGUUUGAUUGUUUUUAGGUUGAAUUUCUAUUUAUUGGUCUUAUCUAAGGCUCAAUGCAGAUCUCUCUUCAUGAGAGAGUCUCUACCUUAUCGGGUUAAAUCCUAACCGUUCUAAAGUCUGAAUACUAACAUCGUAUUUAUUUACAUAUUAUAUCUUUAAUACCUGAGGGUGUAUUUUAUCGUAUAAUUUUACACCCCACAAGUAUUAAAGUCUACAUCUAGAUCCUAAAAAAAGAUUGGAAAAAGAUUUUUGAUAUGUUGGCCAAAUCGUAAUGUAUAAUCAUAAACUAAUUACGAUAUCCAUUUUUUUUAACAUGAAAAAAAUGCAAUUUUAUUCUUAUUUUUUAAUGAAAAAUAUGCUUAAAAUUUUUUUUAGGAUUUGGCUGUAUGCAUGAAAUUUUUUUUUUAAAAGUAGAAAUUGAUUUAAAAGAUUUUUUUUGAAAUUUUUUUAAUUUUAAUUUUUUUUUGAAAUAUUUUGAAGAAAACCGAGUAUUUUAAUACCGGAUUUGUAUUUUACAGUGUAAAUAUACAAACUGAUAUUAUGCAAAAUUAGUAGAAAAAUAUUUAAGAAAAUCACAAAUUUUUUUAAAAGGAUUUUUGAAUUUUUUCAGAAUUUUUUUUUUAAAAAUAUAAUAUAUAUAUAUAUAUAUAUAUAUAUAUUAAAUAAAUAUUAUUAAAACAUGUGGGCUGGGUCAGCCCAGCUGAUUAGGCCGAGCUCAACCCCAGAAGAGAUGGGCCAAUAUCGACCCAAAAUGGUUGGGCCGAUAUCGGCCCAGAAUUUUAGUUUUUUGUUUUUUUUAGCCGGGCCAGACCAGCUGAUUGGGCUGGGCCAGAAUUGGCCUGACCCAAGUUUCAUGUUAAUUAUACCAGCAACGUGAACACUUACUGUUCACGUGUUGCAUGCAACCAAACGAUUGCAGGAGCUACUGACGAGCGGAGGAGGAGGCUACCGGUGUCUGUGGUCACUGACGUGAUCAGGAGGUUGAGCUGAUGUUCCGGGUGGCGUCUUUUCGAGGAACGGUGGAGGAAUUGGUCGCACUAAGUAGUUUCUCACGGUGUACUACUUCUGCCAUUUUGUUGCAGUAGGAUUUUAAAUGUGUUAUGGGGCAUUGUGUUCCAGUGUAUUUGAUGAAUUCAGGAACACGAAACUUUUUUGGGACAACCACAUUUGGGACCAGAUACAUUUCUGAUGCUCGUACUGGAUCAUACAAGUCUACCCUUUCAAUAGCUCUAAUCCGGGCUUCCAACGCAGCCAUCUUAUCUUGAUCAAUGUUAUUAGAUGACUUAGUCUUAUGAGACUCGUUAGGAAAUGGAUCUAUGACUGCAGGGGCUAGUGCUGAUGGCAUUGAGUGCACAAAUGCUGGAUCGUGUGGAGGUUCUUGACCAUGUUCACUCAUUGUUUCUUCGGGUUGAGCUGUUGUUGAAGGCUGAGCAAAAAUAGUUGGUUGAUUGGAAGGACCUUCACUAGAGGCUUUUCUAAGUGUUUGCUCGAGUAAGCUAGUGAGGCGAGCCACGCUUGCUUUCAGAGACUCUAACUCUUCUUGAAAAUGGGCGUCAUGGUGAGCACGCUUUUCAUCUUCCAUGUUUCUUGCUCAGAGUCGGGUGUUAUAGGCUUUUUGGGGACCUAUAUUUGAACCUGAUGCAAGUAUGUAUGUUAUUUACAAUGGAUGGAUGUAGGCGUGUGGAUGCAAAUGCAUAUAUAUUGGGUAUGAAUGGCAAAAACUCAUGCAAAAUGAAUAUGUAGGGAGAUCAUGCUCUAAAGGAAGGUUCUAGGUCAUUACAUGAUAGAUAGGCUUUCUACCUAGUCUUAAAAGGGUCUAUGAACUACCUAGUGACCACCUCACGUGAAGGCAGUAUAGGGGUUUACAAGGAAUGGUUGGGGCACACUGUGACCACCAUUAUCGAGUAAACACUCAGUUCAUAGUUGGAUGUUUCACGAAUCUGAACCCCGACUGAAAGUCAUGAGGCAGACCGCUACUCCCCACCUAACUUAGAAUUUGGGUUUAUUUGCAAAAUUAAAAUGCUAAAGCAGUAAAAAUGCAAGCUAAAAUUAAAGAACAACAAAAAAAAAAACAAGCAAACAAGCAAAGUUUAGUCCAACCAGACAAGGUGGUCCCCAGUGGAGUCGCCAUUUGUCGCGGGGGGCGCAACGGCGGAGGCUCUUGUCAUGCCUCCUGAUAAGGGGUGUUGUGUGUUGGAAAAUUAUGAUUAGUUUUUAGGAGUCGCCACCUAGUAUUAUGGUUACUAGGAACCUAUGGUCUGCGAGAGUCUGAGUAAGGGACUGGUUGUGCAAGGAAAAGACGCAUCAACCCCAGUGCACCCUACCUAAGGUAAGCUGCAUUGUUAUUUGAUUGUUUUUAGGUUGAAUUUCUAUUUAUUGGUCUUAUUUAAGGCUCAAGGCAGAUCUCUCUUCAUGAGAAAGUCUCUACCUUAUCGGGUUAAAUCCUAACCGUUCUAAAGUCUGAAUACUAACAUCGUAUUUAUUUACAUAUUGUAUCUUUAAUACCUAAGGGUGUACUUUAUCGUAUAAUUUUACACCCCAUAAAUAUUAAAAUCUACAUCUAGAUCCUAAAGAAAGAUUGGAAAAAGAUUUUUGAUAUGUUGGCCAAAUCCUAAUGGAUAAUCAUAAAUUGGUUACGAUAUCCAUUAUUUUUUUAACAUGAAAAAGAUUCAAUUUUAUUUUUAUUUUUUUAAUAAAAAAAAUGCUUAAAAGUUUUUUAGGAUUUGGUCGUAUGCAUGAAAAUAAUUUUUUUAAAUAGAAAUUGAUUUAAAAGAUUUUUUUGAAAUUUUUUUAAUUUUAAUUUUUUUGAAAUAUUUUGAAGAAAACCAGGUAUUUUAAUACCGGAUUUGUAUUUUACAGUGUAAAUAUACAAACUAAUAUUAUGCAAAAUCAGUAGAAAAAUAUUUAAGAAAAUCACAAAUUUUUUUUAAAGGAUUUUUGAAUUUUUUCAAAAAUUUUUUUAUAAAAGAAAUAUAUAAUAUAAUAUUAUAUAUAUUAAAUAAAUAUUAUUUAAACAUGUGGGCUAGGUCGGCCCAGCUGACUGGGCCGAGCUCAGCCUCAGAAGAGAUGGGCCAAUAUCGGCCCAAAAUGGUUGGGCCGAUAUCGACCUAGAAUUUUAGUUUUUUUUUUAGGUCGAGCCAGACCAAUUGUUCUGGCCCAGCCCAAGUUUCAUGUUAAUUAUAUGCAGCAACGUGAACACUUACUGUUCACAUGCUGCAUGCAACCAAACGGUUGCAAGAGCUGCUGACGAGCGGAGGAGGAGGCUACCGGUGUCUGUGGUCACGGACAUGAUCAAGAGGUUGAGCUGAUGUUCCAGGCGGCAUCUUUUCGAGGAACGGUGGAGGAAUUGGUCGCCGGUGGCAGAGGAAGUAGAAGAAGAAAAAGGCAAACGAGAAGCUGCAGAGAGGAGAGAGAAAGGUUCAAGGUGGCUCUCGGUGGUUGGUAGGUAGCUUCCAACGGCGGAGUUGGUGGUGUAUAGGCUGUUGGUGGCUUCGGUUGGUGGCUGGAAAGGCGGAGAGAGAGUGUAAAGAAAAACUGCAGAAACGGGGGCAGAAGGGCUGGUUUAUGGCCGACUUUGGACCCAAUUUUCUCCUCGCUCAGGUCAUCAACGAAGCCUCUAUUUAUAGGCGGUGGAAGAGGGUAAUCUCGUCUACACCGGGGUAAAAUUUCAGCCAUUGAUUCAGUUGGGAAGGAUUCUAACCGUUGGCUCAAAGUAGACAUCCUGAGUUGUCAAUUCUGCAGAAAAAGCUGUCUGAGUGGGUAUGUUUAAGCCAGCUCCGGCGCCGCGUGGUCGUCAUUCAGACUUAAAUAUUCAGACGGGGAUGUAUAGUGACUGUAGAGGAUCAUUUUCGUGUAAUUUUGGUUAAAUUUGGUGGGCGUUUAGUGCAUUAAAUGCACCUGCAAAGUAGACUACCGAACCAGCUUUAACCGGGUAAAAGAAGAAGACAAUGAAUAGUGACCACACGACACGUCGUCUGGUCCUUUCUUCUUCUUCUUUUUUUUUUUGUAAAACCGCACCGUUUUGGACUGGAAUAGGGAUUUUUACUAAAUUUCAAUUGAGUCCUCUUUCUUUUAAUUGCUUUCAAUUGAACCCCUAAUUAUCACACUUUUAUUUAAUUAUCACACUUUUAUGAUAUGACCUUGCAGCCAGACCCACAUCCAAGACUAUUGGGUCUGGUAUUGCAGUCAGACCCACUUAAAGUUGAGUCAUGCAAGUUUAAUAUUAUUAUUAAUAUUAUAAAUAUUACUCUGAGGUCAGGCGUUGCAGCCACACCCAAGACUCUUAGGUGUAGCUUUACAAAAAAACCUAAUACUUUUAGAUCUUAAUUUUUUUUGAUAUCUUUUAUACAAAAACUAUUGACCCGCGGGUCGUGUAACUAGUUUAAAGAAUAUCGUGAUCAUAUAGAAAGUAUCCUCUUAAUAUUAUUUUAAAGAAUAAUAUUAAGAUAAUUUAUUGAACUGACUACUGUCUUGCUUCGAUGGGGGACAAUAUUUUCCUCUUUGUUCAAGGGCAUUUUUGUCCGAGAAAAAAGCUGAGCUCACCGUCUCGCUCAAGUCCUGCUGAACAAAGAAAAGAACGAGCAAUGAUUGAACGGCACCUCCAUCGGAUUCCAACAUUUUUCCAAGAAGAUGCUUCACAAUUAUUGCUCGAUGUGGGACAGUGUGUUUCUGUUUGCUUCAAGUCCUCCAAAAACAAAUAAUCGGUACAAUGUGUUCUUGGUUAUUGCUCGAUUGUGGGACAGUGUGUUUCCCGUUUGUUUCAAGUCCUCCAAAAACAAAUGAUGGGUACAAUGUGUUCUUGGAUUCCAACAUUUUUCCUAGAAGAUGCUUCACAAUUAUUGCUCGAUGUGGGACAGUGUGUUUCUGUUUGCUUCAAGUCCUCAAAAAACGAAUAAUCGAAACACCGUGUUAUUGGAUUCCAACACUUUUUCAAGAAGAUGCUUCACAAUUAUUGCUCGAUGUGGGACAGUGUUUCCCGUUUGCUUCAAGUCCUCCAAAAACAAAUAAUCAGUACAAUGUGUUCUUGGAUUCCAACAUUUUUUCAAUAAGAUGCUUCACAAUUAUUGCUCGAUGUGGGACAGUGUGUUUCCCGUUUGCUUCAAGUCCUCCAAAAACAAAUAAUCGGUACAAUAUGUUUCUGCCUUUUGUUUUUAUACGUAUAACUUCGAUUUUUUAGAUAAAAAAAUAACAAAAUUUUUAAUAUCUAAUUUUUUUUAGAUAAUAAAAUAAUAAGGAAAAUAAGAUUCAAUUAGUAUAGAAAAAUUUACAUGAUACAGAUGAAUAAAAAAAUAAUAUAUAUAUAUAUAUAUAUAUAUAUAUAUAUAUAUAUAUAUAUAUAUAUAUAUAAUGUGAUAAAAAAAAGAAAAUCGAGCAAUUCAUAUCUGUUGAAUGAAAUUGAAAAGAGAAAUUUAAAGGAUUAGUUUUAAUCACUAAAAUCAAAUGAUAUCUUAAAAAUAUAUUCACCAAACACAACGAAUGUAUUCCGUGUGGGAUCGAUAAUGUAUUUUAAUCACUGUUAUCAAAAUUCGUACAACUUCGUUUGCUUUGGUGUGGGAUAAUGUGUUUUGUUCAAGGAUGUUGGGCUUUAUUUACAACACAAUUUCUAAAUUAAAAUAAAAACAAUAUUUUUUGAGCUCCAUUAUUUUUUUAAGACAUGCUAUUUUUUUUUAAAAAAAUCACUAUCCUAUGCUAUUUUCGUUCAAGGAUAAUUUUUUUAAAAAUACAAAAGCUAUUAGGUUAUUUAUUUGGAAUGUCUUUGAUGUUUUAAUUGACUUUCACAAACGUUUUAUCAAGUUUACUAGCUAUUUCAAACUAUUUCAAACGUGACACGUACGAGUUGGAUAUUUGUUUUUCAAUAAAAAAAUUGAACAAGCAAGUUUUUCCAACAUGUUUUUUAAAUAAAAAAUUAAAUAUAAAUUAAAAAAUUUAUGUAUGCAUAUAAUUAAACAAAACAAGAGCCAUUUAUAUCAAUAAAUGAAAAGAAGUCAGUAACAAUAACUAAAUAUAUAUCUUGAAAAAUCGAGAAACAAAUAUAAAUCAAGAUACUUGAUCUAGCAACACAGAUCAUUUAUUUAAUUGUAUUCAUUACAUUCUUUAUUCAAUCAAAUGACAAUAAAAAUAGACGCAUAUAUAAUAUUGAUUGAAUAAAAUUAAAAGGAAAAAAAUCUUAUAAAGUUGUACUUAUUAGAAAUACUAUUCAAAAAUAAAUAUUUAUUAUUUUUAAAACUAAAUCUCAAUUAUAUAAUAGAUAAAAAAAAUUAUAGAUAAAUUAGAAUAAUAUCUUAAAAAGUUAAACAUAUAUAAAAUAAUUAAAAAAACAACAACUAUUUAAGGCAUGAUAAAUAGAAAAAAUAAGAAAUUAAAGAGAGAGAAAUGAUAUUAAUUUAAAUAUAAACUAUAAAUUUAUUUAUCAAACACAUAUAAAAAAGUAUUGACUUUUUUUAAAAAAGACAAAAUUAUAUAUAAAAAAAAAGGAAAAAGGCCAAUGUCUGGCUCAAUAGAAAUGCCUCGUGUCAAUUUAUGUUUUUAUUUUUUUUAAAAAGAUAAAAUUNNNNNNNNNNNNNNNNNNNNNNNNNNNNNNNNNNNNNNNNNNNNNNNNNNNNNNNNNNNNNNNNNNNNNNNNNNNNNNNNNNNNNNNNNNNNNNNNNNNNUAACAAAAAUAAACUUCAUUACUGCAAUUGAAUUGCAAAGCUAUUGGAUUUAAGUACUAUUUAACGAAAACGAGUCCGAGCUGCGAGUGGGAAGAUAACCGAAGGCCCUUAGGUGCGACAAUCAGCACCUGUUUUCUUCUCACGUUUUUGCUUCAAGUCCUGAUAAAAACAAAGAAUGGAUGGCAUGCAGCACGAGUCAAUGGUGCGACAGUAUAUGGCACUCCAACUCACCCACCCUCCAACAACAUCUCUUCAAAUAAAUAUAUGAUUUACUCUGUUUUUUCAAGCAAAGAUUUUUAUUCAUUAUACUCUUGGGAGCAACGCCAAAAACGUUUGUGAGACAUCAGUUUCUCUUUAACCUUUUUUUUUUUAAUUUUCGAUCAAGAACUAAAGAUAAUGCGAAAAGGUAUCAAGUUAAAAUACCUACCACCUGUUGAUUUCACUGCUCACUUUAAUAUUCAGAUUCAAUUCACCAAUAUAAGACCCUUAUCUUCUCUAUUAAAAACUAUAUAUUUCUUCUCUUUAAUUACCAAAAUAUAAAAUAUAAAAAAUUACAAGAAUCUAAUUCAAGAUUGCAAGGAAGCGAACAAGGACAGGUUAUGCACUGACAUCUUAGAGAGGGAAAUGAGAAGGAAUACAAUGGCCGGGAGUGCCUCCAUCACUUCCCAUACAAUGGAUGAUGAUCUUCACAUGAAGCUGCUAUACCUGAAGAACAGAGGUAUAUUGUUCUGCACGUGAUAACUUUGGAUCAAAUCACUAGUCUUUUUGCUGAAGCCAGUGCAUCGUUCAUAUGCACUUUCAGCUCCAUGGGACUCGAUUUUGCUUUUGGAUUGCAUUGAAUUGAAAAUUUGCUUCUUUUUCUGGCUUAAUCUGCAUAAUUUUGUUCCUGUUUACAAUUAGCUUGCCUUUUCCCCUAAGAAUUUCAAGAUUAAUAUGCCAAAAGCUGAAGUUUUUUGUUAGUUUACUGAAAUCUCUUACUUGCACAUAGAGAGAAAUCCGGCAAUGAUAUUUUCAGAUACUCUGUUGAGAUACCUACAUAUUAACAGUACUGAUCUUCUUGCUGCUUUAUCCGAGCUUUAAAUUCCUUGGUUUGGGUGCUGGGGGUGUCCUGCUAGCUAUCCUGUCUGCUCUUCUCCAAAUAAGAGCUUUUAUGCUCUUUCUAUUUUAGUCUCCUAAUCUACCAUGCAAUCUUGAUGAAAAUAGAGAUUUUCUUAAUGGCAUUUGAUGCGCACAAAGGUGAAGGCAUCCCAUUGAUUUAUGGCUUUAGCACCUUUUGUUCAAUUAUGAUCUUGAUUGAUUCAAAUGGAUAUCUACCAUCGCUUAUAAUUAAAUGUAUGAUCAAGUGUUGUGGUGUACAUCACAGUGGCAUUUGCAAGAUUAUUCUUCCCUACUGAAGCCAAGCUAGCCAUGGACAUUGGACAUACUGCAACAACACCAGAAUUCGCUGGUCUUGCUGCAUCAAAAGGUUCUGACGGGAAUUUGAGGGGGGCUGACCUAGAUGAGACACCAAUAAUGCAGAACAUAAGACUUCGUUCUAGGAUGGAAGCCCUAACGAAAACAGGUACAUGGAAACUAUGAAUCCUUCUGUUUCAGGAACCAGCAUCAGGACAUGUUAUAAUGUGUUAUCAUUACGAGAGUCUUAGAAUAUUUUAAUCUGAUUGAAUCAAUUGAAUUCCCAGAAAACUAAUGCAGGAUAUGAAGCCCCUGAUACAUGGACAAUGGAAUCUGGUUCAAUCAUCAAUAGUAUUUCGUAAAAACAUUUUCAAAACUAUUCAACUCAAUAGGCACACUGAAAAUUUUGCGAGAACCCACCUGGUGAGGUGUAAGACUCCAUCAAUACUGGCUUGUAUAGCUCGGAAUCCUUUGGCUGUACCAUGUUAGAAGGCAACUCAAGAAAAAUGUUCCUGAUUAAAAUUCCGCAUCGAAAAGAUUUCAAGAAGAGCUUCAUGCCUGUUAUAGCAGCAAUGCAAGGACAAUGGUACCAAAUCAACAAUUAAAAUGAGAGUGAUGAGCAUUGUAAGGUGGCUUGAUAGACACAUCAAAUGUCAUGGAAACUUAAUUGCUUGAAUACGAUGAAGUACGCUUUGAAAUUGAAACAAGAAUAAUAGUUAUAUAAUUAUCUACUAUAUAUCUAUCCAGAUGUAUAGCAGAUCAGAAACAAGGCAGCUUACCUUGUCCAGUUGAAUAAACGGAUUGACAUGUGAAGCAUCAGAGGAGGCUGGUUUUUCUUAUGUUAAUGGAUUGUCAUAUUAAGCUCUGCUUCUUGGCACCUCUCUGUCUAGAGCCUCCCAUCUAAUUUUUCCAGGAAAAACCUGUGUGUGAGAGGAGAGCUGCUUGAGAUGCAGCCAUCUAAAGAAAGGUAAAAAAAAAGUGUUUGAAAACAUUGAGCAAGUUUGUGCGUAGCAUUACUGCUCUGGGCAGCCGGAAAAUUAGAAAUUAAUUUUUUUAAUAUUUUAAUAUACUAUUAUCAAAAAUAAAUUUUAAAAAUAAAAAAAUAUUAUUUUAAUAUAAUAAAAAAUAUUUUAAAAAACCAUAAAAAAUAGAAUUAAUUAUUUUUAGUAACUAUAUGUUAUUGUUCUAAUUAUUUUUUAGUUUGAAUAAAACUUCUAACAAAUUAGAUUUUAAUAGAAAAGAAAAGGUUCUAUAUAUAUAUAUAUAUAGAUAUUAAAUUUUUAUUUUAAUCAUAAAGUUAAUAAAAUUUUCAAAAUAUUCAAAAUAUUUUAAUAAAUACAACCAAUCUGAAUGUACGAAAUUAAAUUUAAAUAAUUAUAUAGAAUUAUAUAAGUUUUUAGUUGAUAUUAAUUUUGAUCGAUAGCUUAUAAUGGCAUGAGAACAUGAAAAACAGCGUUCAACGCCUCUCAAGAUUAUUUUUUAGGAAAAAAAAAAAAAACCUUCAUUCUAAAAGAAAAAUCUCUUCUCUUCUCCUCAUCUUUCGUGCUCAAUCACCCUGAAAAAAAAAAGCACAGCCACCACAAUUCUGAAGGCUCGGCACCACGACCAGCGUUAAAACCCACCAAAAAUAGUGGCAAUAAGAGGUGCAGAUGGCGGAAGACAGUGAACAACCACUGCCGAUACCCACAUCAGAUCUCACCGUCAUGAAGUCUACCUCCCUCAGUGAUCGAUUAAAUGCGAUUUGGUUUCAUCAAAUUUGGGUUUGUUUUGAUUUAUGGGAGGUUCUUGAGAUGGGUUUGUGGUGGAUAAGUGGAUUUGAAGGAAUCUGGGGAGGGAGAGAGAGUAUUUAAAGAUUGUUUUAGGAUUUCAAGCUCGAAGAUUGCUUGAAGAUUUAAGUCAAAGACCUGAAUCUUAGGCUUUUCUUACUUUAUUAAAAACACUUUAGAAAAAAUAUGGUGUGGCCCACGAUGGGCGGACCAUCACUCUAGUGUUACUAAAAUUAGAAUCACGAGAUCAAAUUUAUAAAAAAAAUCAAUACAAAAUGAGCCUUUAAACCCAAACGCAGCGAGAUACUCAGUUCACCACAUUCCUUCUCGAGAAAUUCAUAGUACUCUUAUUUUUAUUCUUCAAUUGAUAAACACAAAUGUUUUGCUCAUGUUCUUUCUGACUAUGGAUACAACAUAUUACUCUUAUUUGAAGACUAAACUCAUCUUAUUAUUAAUUUGAUAAAGAUUGAAUAAUCCCUUGAUCACCAGUCUGUGCAUGCUGGUGAACCUCCUUAAAGAGCAUGAAUCCCAUGCUAUGGAGUUGAUGCAACUAAAAAGGACCUUAACUGCUCAAGCUCUCGCUCUUUACGCUCAAGCUCUUCGUCUUUAUAUGCUACCGUCCUUUUCAGUUCUUUCACCUCCUUCAAAAUAGUUGUCAUUUUGGAACUCAGCAUGAAUAAUUGCCAGAUUUUUUAUUAAUCUACGCACGCAACUUUUUCUUAUUCAAAAAAUAGAAAUUAGGAGUCCUAUGAAUUUCAAGUUAAUUUUCUCAUUCCAAUAUAUAGAGGUAAUUUGACUAAUUUCCUAUUGUUAAUCAAUCAACGUUUGCUAGCAAUUAAGUACGCAAAUUAAGUGCAACUUUGUGUGGUGUAAAAAUUCUGCAACGCAACAUGAAUAUGGCUUUAAAAAUUAAGUAUUUAGUAUUGUGAUGAAAUAUAUUUUAUUUAAAAAUACAUUAAGAUAUAAUUUUCUAAUGAACAAUGUAUUUUAUUUAAGGAAUAAUUAAUACAGACGUCCAAGCUAAAAAUUAUAUGGAUCUUUAUUAAAAGUCUACCUCCAAUAAAAAUAAAUAUAGAGGAUUGAAAAUUAAUUUCAAUGAAUGUGAAGGCAAGUAUAAAAUUUAGAAGGAAUCGUGGAGGUAAGAGGUAGACCUCUAUUGCCAUGCCCAAGAGGGUUGCAUCCAGUCAUAUAACUUGAUUUAAAAUCAAAUAAUUUUUAUGAUAAAAGAUUAAAAUAAAAAAAAUUUAAUUAAAAAAAAUCAAAGUUGGUAUAAAAAUAAAAUUAAAUCUAAAUCUAUAAUUAAAAAAAUAACAAUUAAAAACUUUUCUAUAAUUGUUGCCUCGGACUUGACAAAUAUUCAUGCAUUGUUGUAAAACAAAGACGUGUGCAGUAAAAAGCCAGUGGCCAUAUAAAUAAUUGGCUGUGCACUGUUCCAUUCGACACUUUACCUGAGGAAAAGAAUAGCGAGAAAGGAAAUUGGCAUCGUACCUCAGUGGAACUUGACAGUGACAUGUCUGUAUUAUCUCUCAGAUAUCUAUCAAUGGCCUCACGAUAUUCUUCUCCCUCCUUUAUAUUUUUUGUUGAAAAUUACGGUGAAACAUCAUUCAGAUUGUUGUCAAGAAUUAAAGUAGUCAUCAGUUAACAUAAUCAAAUAUCUAAUAUUAAUAAUUUAUUCCAUAGUUUUCUUAGACACAAAGAUCAAUAUAUGGUACUCGAUGGAGAUAAUGUACUUGAGAAAGAUUUUUGGUAGACUUACCCAUGGCAAUACCAGAUCAUGACCACGUAUGUAAUCAUUUAAUGAAUUGUAGUCUUUUAAUGAAUUGUAUUCAUACUGUUCGCUCAAACCAAGAUGUAGCAUGAGAAAGCAGACAUGGGUGAGCAGCUCUCCACCUCUUCUCAGUUGUUGAGCGUGUUCUUUCCAUGGACAAUGAGCUGCUGCAUAAGCAAGCAUUUCCAUCCAAACUUCUUCGAUUAUCUCCCAUCGCUUCUUAAAUCCCAGCAAACGCAAUUGCUUGGCGAGCCUAUCCCCACCAGCUACCGCUAACUUGGUUUCUUUCCAGCGAAAUUGAAACCGUAUAUCAUCAAUAACAUAUGAUUCAUAGUAGAACAGAAUUGCAUCUACAACUUCCUCCUUACUUAUGAUGCUAUCCAAGUCUCGCAAGGAAUGUAGAUAUCCCUCAUCACCGAUUCCUUGGGAUAGCGUAUCUGGUCUCAUCACCAAAAGAUACAUCAUGUAUUCAGAUAGGCAUCUGCUUGUUUCAUACUCUGAGGGGACAUUGUUUGCAUCUUUAUCAACACAGUAACAGAUCUCUGUUGCGAUGCCAGACAAGAAUGCUUCGACUGAAUUCCACUUCAGUUGUGCUCCACUUCAAGUCCUGUAACAGUCCCUCUCUUUCCAGCACACCAUCUCCUCUCUGACCAAUUAUUUUUCUUCUGAAAUUCUUAUCAAUGAAAUUGAAAUCUUCCUUAAUCUUCAGAGAGUUCUUUUGGAGGUGUCCGAAAAUAAAAUCUUGUAGUCCACCAUUCAUAUCUUUCCGAUUCACAUUCAUCUGCCUCAUCAUUUCAUCGAUUCCCAGAAAUUCCAAGCAUUUAGGUGGCUUGCUUUCAAUGGAAGAGCUUAUCAGGUUAUACUGUGCUAUGGAUCUCGACCACCUCUCGCUUCUAGUUAACUUCCUUAUCGGAGAAUAAAGAGCACUACUCAGGGCGUUCCCUCCUUCAUCAGUCAACCAGAUCAUUGUCCAGUCAGAGAAAAUAAGGCAUAAAAAAGCAUAAAACUCGAGAAAAAUAGCGGCCACAAACAAUAAAUACAUAAUUUGUUAAGUCGAUCGUUGAGUAGGCAUGCUUCUCAAUCUUGACUUGGAAGGUAAUAAACGAAGUGAAAGUGUGCAGAAAGCUGAUAGAGCGAAGAAUGAUUCUAGCACGAGAGUAAAUCAGGGCGCUUUACUAUAAAGCAUAUCAUAUAUUAAUCCAAGCUCAACCUCUACCACCUUGAAGGCACCGCCAGCGGAAUAUUUGGACAUAAGCAACUGGCUGAGCAUUAGAUCCACAAGGCUAGGGACAAGAUCCUGCAUCAUAGACCUGGAUAUAUAAGAAAAAAUAUACGCUUGACGAAGAUAGUUUCCCUGCAGAGCUCGUAGACCAAUUUCUUUUAUUCUCUUCAGAUGAUAAGAACGCCAAAAAUCAAAGAGAUUAGAGUUUUUCAAACUCUUGGAGCAUGAAGACCUGAGCAUCCAAGUCCUCUCUGCAUACUUUACAAUGCCAACAAUGAACAUUGGAAUCGCUAUGAAUGCGAGGAUACCGCUAGGCCAAGACCUUGAGAAGACAUAAAAAGCCACUCCGACUUGGACUACAAGACCAAGUAAAUGCCUUAACCACAACUCGUUAUCUUCAAUCGAGUAUGCAGUGAUUGUGUCCGGGCCACCAAGGUGCAGGAGUAGAAAAGGUGCCCAAAAUGCCUGGAUGGAAUUGUUUGCUUUUUUUGAACCGUCACCUGAUGAAUCUCCUUGGCUCCUGGCUAGAUUACCCAAGGCAAUGUUGGAAUAUUGCCAAUUAUGUGGCUGCCAUUGUCAAAGAAGAUGGCUGCCAUGUGAGAGUCAAAGAGGGCUGCUGGUGCAGCAUUUGCAGCCCCUUGACAUUGUCAAAGAAGGAGGCUACAAUGGUGGGUUGUUGGUUGCAGCCAACAACCAUUGUCUAAUGUCAAAGUUUGGUAAGUUUGACAACCAUCAUUGUUGACAAAGGAGCAAGAGGAGCUGUCAUUGAAGGCUAUAAAUAGACACCAAGAGUGCAGCAUAAAAUGAGAGAGAGAGUCUAGUAGUAGAGCUACAAAAGAGAGAAGAAGAGAGAAAGAAAGAGAAGGGCUGCCACCAGCAGCCCUGCUGCCAUAUGCAGCUGCUGCCCUAUGUAGCAAUGAGAGAUGGGAGUUGAGUGGAUGUGAUCCUCCUCCGUGUGUUGUAUUCUUUCUCUAUCUCUAAUAAUAUUGAUCUCUCCCGUGGAUGUAGGCAAUUAGCCGAACCACGUUAAAUAUUGUGUCAGUGUGCUUAGCCUCCUUUGAGAAAUGAUCAUGAACACCACCAUUCCGCAGGGGGAGCAGAAAUCCCCAACAAUUGGUAUCAGAGCCACCACUAGUGGUUUCUCCCACCAACAAAUUGGUAUCAGAGCCCCGUUCGUCAGAAAACAGAAGUGUUUUGGGAGAUAUCCGAAUUUUCAAAGUUGUCAAAAACAAGUGUUGAUCAUUCCACCGUGUAGAGCUCAUCCAUACGAACUCACUGCCGCAAAAAUCAGCUCAAUCGGACACCGGGGUGUGCGCCACACGCGUCGCCUGAAAGUUCUGUAACUGUAGCCCAGUCGCACCCACGCGCUCCAGAGGAAGAAGACGAGUGCCGUCCACGCGCACCAUAUUCGAGCCGUGUAAGCCGAUAUCCAGCCGAGCUGAUCUUUAGCUGCAGCCGAGCCGAUAGAAUAUUGCACAGAAUAUUCCCGGUUCAACCCAGCGAACCGCCCGACGCCAAGAAUUGGGUUUUUGACCGGUUCACCCAUUUUCUGACCUGAUUUCUACAAAGUCAGACCGGUUCCCGACUAUUUUGACCAUUCCGGAUCGAUCGACAGUGUCUGUUUUGCCAAAUUCAACUCCCAGAAGGAGAUAUAGUCAUUCAAAGAGCAAAAUGACUACAGAAAGUACACAAACACUCAUCCCGAAGCUGACCAAAGACAACUAUGAUAGUUGGUGCAUCAGAUUAAAGGCAUUCCUUGGUUCACAAGAGUGUUUGGAGAUUGUACACUAUGGUUAUGAUGAACCAGAAUCCAAAGAAGAAGAAGAUGCUUUACAAGAGGCACAGAAGCUAGCCCUGAAAGUCAACAGAAAGAAAGACAACAAAGCAAAGACGAUCAUCUAUCAAGGUCUUGAUGAAGACACAUUCGAGAUCAUUGCUUCCGCUGAAACAUCACAUGACAUAUGGGAGGCUCUCCAACAAAAAUACAAAGGUGCUGACAGAAUCAAGAAGAUUCGUCUUCAAUCUUUGCGAGGUGAAUUUGAGUUAUUGCAAAUGAAGUCCUCGGAGUCUAUUUCUGAUUAUCACACAAGAAUUAUGGUGAUAGUCAAUCAGAUGAGGAGAAAUGGAGAAGCCAUCGUCGAUUCCCGAAUUACUGAGAAAAUUUUGAGAUCCCUAGAUCCAAAAUUUGAUUUUGUUGUUAUCGCUAUUGAAGAGUCCAAGGAAGUGGACAAGUUGACAGUUGAUGAGCUUAUGAGUUCUUUGCAAGCUCAUGAGCAGAAGAUUGUAAAGCGAAAUGGAGAUAAGGCCAUCGAGCAUGCCUUACAAGCAAAGUUGUCACUCAAAGAGAGAUAUGAGCAAGAGGAGACUUCAACAAGUGGAUAUACCACUCAAGCAAGAAGUCAACAAUCCAGAGGAGGAUUUCAGCAAUUCCAAGGAAGAGGAUCUUGGAAUACAAGCUUUAGAAGAAGAGGUGGUAGAAACACCACUAGAGGAGGUCGAGGACAACAAGCAUUCACUCCUAGAGGAAGAGGAGGCGGUUACAAUGACCGUAAUGCAGCUUCUUCUCUGUCAUCCUUCUCUGCAUAGUUGGCUUGCUCACAUAUCUCCAACGGAGCUUUCCUUCUGCAUUCAGUGCUAUAGUGCCCAAAUUGAUUGCAACUAUAACAUUGGAUAUUUCUCUUGUCCAACAAGAACUUGGCGAGAAAUCUGGAGAACAGAAAUUGCACGAGGGCACACGGAGAUUGUGCAAGAGUACCCGUGAUCCAACGAGGUACUGUAAUAAGACAACAGGUGCAAGGAGAAGAAGUGUUCCCAGAUGAAGCUCAGAGCAGAGACUAUGUGUGAAGGUUGUACAACAGGAAGUCUCUUAUGCUCUUGAUGAAGACAACAUGUAAAGACCUUUCCAAUACAUACAAGGAUGGAAAGAGAGCUGUUGCAGAGGCACCUAAUUGAGGGGGUGCAAACGCCUGUGAUAAAAGGCGACCGCCUAUGAUGAAAGGCGAAUACACCAAAGAGAGUUGAUGUAGGUGGAGCUGUCAAGCAGAAAGGCACAGAAGCUCCAAACAUAGAAAUCGAGGUAGAGGAUUGCGAGGAGUAUACUGCAAGUUUCUCUUUCUAUGUAAUCAGUGGCAGUUAUCUCUCCCAUAGUCCACAUGGUGGUAGAGAAUUUUGGAGCCACUUUGAUACAUCCCAGCUGAAAGAGGAUGUGACCGCCUAUGAAAGCCGAAGACACCUUAGAGAAGGUGUGAGGGUCGUGAUAUGAGCUCAAGUUCAGACCGCCGUAUGACGACAAGCGGAGACACCUCAGACAGAAGGUGUGUGGGCCACAAUAUGAGCCCAAGUUCAGACCGCCCUAUGACAACGGGCGAAGACACCUUAGAGAAGGAGUGAGGGCCAUGAAAGGAGCCCAGUUCAGAACACCUCAAAGCUAAUGUGAUGGCUAGAUAUGAGUGGACAGGUGUAUAGCCAAUGAAGUGGUUAUGAUGAGUAUGGAUACAAACGCAGGAUUGACUUUCAUGCCCCUAGGCUAAAGAUCAAUGAGCUAGAUAACAUUUGCCUUGGACAAUAAGUGGAUGACUUGUGGAGCAUUAAGACGCGACUGCUAGGAAUGAGCAGAGGACAUGCCUUUUUUAAUUUAUUUUGGUUUGUUUUAUAUUAGAUUAUCAUGAUCUCAAACAAACAACACGCAUUUGAUUUGUGCUUAAUUUUAUGAUUUUAUUUUUAUUAUCAUAUAAUUAAGUAAAAAAUAGUUUUAAAUAACAAAAUUCUUAGACUUAGUGGAGUUCUUAACUCAAACCAUGAAUUUGACAGGUUAAGUCGCAAAGCCAAAGUUGAUCAAAUAUGUCGUCAUUUUAAUAUUAAAAAAAAUCAUCUUGAAUAUGAUAAAAUAGGGUUAAAACACAAAGAACCUUAAAAUUUUAUUUUUAUUUUUAAAAUAUUAAUCUAACAAAGUUUGCCUCUCUACGAGGCUUAUGAGAAAUUUUAUGGUGUUUAAUCUAUAACUAAUGAUAUUCUAUGAGUUAGUCUUUGAAACCUAUUAUAAAAAUAAAAAUAGAUAAAAUAAGGGAGAGAAAUCCUAUAUAUAGGUGUUCUUAUUAUUUUUGGUGGGACAUAAAUUGUAUUUUCUCUCUUCUUUUUGCAUGUUUUUUUUUUUUUAUCAAAGUAAAACUCAUAGAGUGACUAAUAAAAUACCACUAGUUACAGCUUGAGCACCAUAAAAUUUUCUAUGGUUUACAAUGCCUUUAAAUAGACUAAAAAACUAACCUAAAAUAUAAAAUAAUAGAAAUAAUGUAAAAAAAAAAAAACCAAACCACAUGAAUCCAUCUAAUUUUCCUUUUUUCACUACUCUUUGUUUUGUUUGUUCUCUAGUGAUUGUAUUAGUUAAUGUUUGUUUUUGUAUUUGUAAUUGCAUUUGAGUGUAUUUGGUUUAAAAAAUAUUAAAUUGAUGAUUUUUUAAUGUUUUUUUAAUUAUUUUGAUAUGUUAAUAUCAAACAUUAAAAAAUCUUAAAAAUUAUUUUAAUAUAUUUUUAAAUAAAAAAUACUUUGAAAAAAUAUUUAAUCAUAAUAAGCCACCUUCUUUUGCUUAAUUUAAUCUGUUUGUCAUUUUAUAUUAAAAAGAAGAAGAAGAAGAAGAAGAAGAAGAAAGUAAGGAAGGAAGGUGCUAAUUUAAUGCAUAGCCUUUUCUUUUCUUUUCUUUCCUUUUAUUUUCACUUGAUAUGAAACCUUCUACAGUCAUUUUUAUUUGUUGAUAGCUUACCAAAAAAUACUAUCAAUGAAAGUAGUCGGUAAACAAUUUAGCGCACGUUUUGGAUUAUAAUAAUACUUAAUUUUUAAAGUAUUUUUUAUUUAAAAAUAUAUUGAAAUAUAAAUUUUUAUUUUUUAAAAUUUAUUUUUAACAUUACAUAGCAAAACAAUCUAAAAAUAUUAAAAAAUAUAUUAAUUUAAAAUAAAAAAUCUAAAAACACUUUCGGCACUUAGUAAAAUGAUUUUUUUAUAUAAAAAUUCAUCCAAUACUAAUGAUUACUUAGCAUGGCCGCCACUGAUAGGGGUGAGAAUAAAAACUAAAAUAUUUAUUAAGUUUGAGAAAAUUAAAAAUUUUAAUUAAAAAAAUAAAGCUGAAAAAAAAACCUAAUUAAUCAAUAAAAAAAACUAAAAAAUUCCAAUAUUGUUUGGUUUUGGUUUUAAAAUUCUAAAAUCGAAUGAGCCAGACUAAACCGAUUCAACCAGCUCUUUAAAAAAAUAUAAAUAUCUGAUUUUCUUCCAAACCCUGCACCAGACCAAAAGGGUAGCGGCCCCAGCCAGCCGGCUCGUUUCUCAUUUCUGGUCUGUGUUUUACCUCCUCUAUAUAGUGUCUACGCAAGCCAUCUCUGCUGGCAAAUAAUUAAUUACUAGCCAUUCCCUUCUCUUCUCUUCCACUCUUUUUAUUAUUAUUAUUAUUAUUAUUAUUAUUUGCUGGUGAGUUUUCCACUCCUUCCUUGGCACUAAAGAUAGCAGUUUACAAGGAUGAAGAAACUUUAAAUCAAUUGCGUUUUCUUUUCUUCAUAGACAGAGUUUGCUUUCUGUUUUAGGGAAGGAACACUGAACAUCAUUGCAGUAAUGAGUCGUAUCUUUUGACUUUAUUUCUGGGAAUACGAUGUUCCUUUUUCCUUAAGAAUUAAUCACAAUACUCCUUUCUCUUUAUAUAUAUAGAAAACAGUAAAUUUCACUCUUCGAAUUUAUUACAAAUCUGCAGAUGAUCAGGAAAUUGAAGCAAAACGCAUAAAUUCAACAAAUUCUUUGUUUCAUUUUAAAUCUGCAAGGACAAGUUUGUGUCAGCAUUAUAUUUAAUUGAGAUUACAACUAAAGCUAAUAGAAACUAGUUUUUUUUAUAUAUGAUUAUAACUAAAGAAAAUUCUGCAUUAAGAAAAUAUAAAGAGCUUCGUAUCUGUCGUAGCAUCAAUGCAAGGACAAUGGUACCGAAUCAACAAUUUAAAUGACAGUGAUGGUCAUUGUAAGGUCACUUGAGAUACACAUCAAAUGUCAUGCAAACUUAAUUACCUAAGAUGUGAAUUUUCCAUACCACUGAUAAAAGCACUUUGUUUGAAAAUAUUCUGAACUUUAAUUUCUCAGUAGCUAGGCAUAAUAAUUUAUUUGAAAGAGAUAGAACUAAUAAAGUGAUUGAGAGUGAAAACAGGGUGAAAGUGCCACUCUUCUAGCCCCUGUAACUGGACAUGUCACUCCACAAACUUUGUCAAGAGGAUUAUCAACCUCACAUUAAACUCUAUCCGACACUUAAAAACAAAUGAAUCACUGUUUACAUACUCUUAAAUUGAGAUAUUAACCUCAUAUAAACUUUUCAAUUUUUAAAUAAGUACCUGAACUAGUCUAAGAAGCUGAAUGAAUCAUCAUAAGCACAUGAUGAUGUGAUGGCUCUUCCACAAAUCUACAAUUAGUAAGUUGAACCCCUGGUAAUUACGUUUCAAAGGCUGACAAAGGGAUUAUAGUCCCUACCCAACAGCUUGAACAAUUUAAAGCAAAUGUAAAUUAUAAAUACAAUUAAACACAAUCACUAAUUAACAGCCAUCAAUGCAAUUUUUUAAAUACAUGCAUGCAAAAUGAAGCCCAACGGUAGUACUGUUGCCAAUAGGAACUUAUUUAAGUUAAUUCACUUAAAUAAUUAUAUAUGGACACAAUAUAACAAAAGCUAUUACUCUUAUUCCAUGCUUAAACUGAUCUCAUUAUUUGAUGGUGGUUGACCAGUCCCUUGAUCAUCUGUUUGUGCUAGCAAACUUAUUGGAAGUGAAUCAAUUCCUUGUUGUGGAGCUGAUGCUGUUAAAUAAGAUCUUAAUUGCUCAAGCUCUCGCUUUUCACGCUCAAGCUCUUGAUUUUUAUGCUUAAACUCUCGCUUUUCACGCUCUCGCUCUUGCUUUUCACGCUCAAGCUCUCGUUGUGUGUCUGCUACAAUCUUAUUAAGUUCUUUCAACUCCUUCAAAAUAGCAAAAUUGUUAACUUGACAUGAGUAAUUAACAAAUUUUUGAUUAAUCUAUGCAAAUUAUUCAUAUUUAAAAAUAGAAAUUAGGAGUCUCAUGAAUUUCAAUUUAAUUUCUCGUUGCAAUAAAUAUAGAGGUAAUCUGACUAAUUUCCUGAUAUUAAUUGAUUAAAACAUGCUACCUAAUUAAGUACAGUCUUGUUUUAUAUACAUGUAUGUUGUUCAAAGUGCGCAAAUUAAGUACAUCAUUGUUCAAGAGAGUGUUUGGAAAUGUUAUAAUGAUUGUUUUUAAAGUGAUUUUUAUUCAAAAAUAUAUUAAAAUAAUUUUUUUUUAUUUUUAAAAUCAGCACAUCAAAACCAAAAAAAAAUUAAUUUGAAAUAAUUUUUUUUUGAAAAUAUACUUUUAAAAUAUAAAAAUAAACAAGGUUUAAAUAAAAGAAUGUGUGGUGUAAAAACUUAUGCCACACUAGAUAAAGAAAAUGUGCUUAAGGUAUUUCUGAAAAUAAAACAACACAACGUGAUUAUGGCAUCAAAAAUAGCUUAUAAUAUUAAGAUUAUUAAUUAGACAGACUAUUAAAGGCCUUGGACAUUGAAUUUAGCGGAAGAGAAAGAGAGGCAAAGUGUAAAGCAUGGAAAAUUGACUAGUCUUAAAUUUUUCCUUUCCUUUGAAAAAAAGGGAGAAAACCUCGUAGGAUAAUAAUUCAAUAAAAAAAAAUACUAAAAGACAAUAAUGAUUUAUUGACACAUGUUUCUAUUCAUUUGAGUAGUAUUUUUACUCUUUUAUUCUUACAACAAAAAUAAUUAUGCUUGCAAUUAGGGGUAUAAUUGCCUUUUUCCAAAUGAUUCAUUAGUCAUUGCAAGAUUUAUUGGAGAUAAAAUAGUCCGAACAUGUUUCUUUUGCUAUAAUGUAAUAACUGAUUUGUCCUUGAAAGCAAGAAAAAUUAGGCUUCCAGCAAGGGUCUUUAUUGACUUUCCCAAAAACAAAAAUGGUGUUUACAUUCGUAUCCUUGGAGGAGGAAAAAAAAUAGCAUGGGUAGAGGGGUUUCUUAGUCUUUUUCAUUUUUUAAACAGCAAAAUUACCUUAUAACCCUUUGACUAUGAAAAAAUUAAGACUGUAUAGCUCAUGAUCAAUCUUUAAAAUCUAAUAAUAGCCCGGUGCACAGUAAAAUACGGGCCAUCUACCUCGUUUUUUACUUGAGAAAUUCAUUUUAUCAAGUAUAAAAAAUCAAAAAGGUUGGAGACGAUAAUUGCACUGACUUCUAAAAGUUCUACCUUCCAUUAUUUGAAAGGAGAUACCUAUGGGUGUACUUUUGUUUAAUUUUCAUUGUAGGUAAUACAAUCAAACGAUUUGGAUAUGAAGAUAGGUAGGGUAUAUGACCUAUAUAUUGGAUCUCCAUUUUUUAAUUUACAUGUAUAUUUAAUUAUUAUAUAUAUCAUUUAAGAUUAAUUUUGUGAGAUAAUUAAGUGUAGAGUAUUUUGAUUUUUUUUAAAGGACAAUAAACUCUCUUUAAUGGAAAUGUACCAUGCAAAGAAUCGUAUGAAUCUUUAUCCAAUAAAGAUAAGUAUGGAAAACUGAAAAUUAGCUUUGAUGGAUGUUAAUGCAAUUAUAGAAUUAAUUUAGAAGCAAUCCUGAAGGGGAGAGUUUAAACCUUCACUGUCAUCCCCAAUCACGGUGCCUUUAAUGGUGAUUUAUCAGUGACUUAAAAUGAAUAUAUUGAAUAACAUAUAUGAUAUACAAAAAUAUUAUUUGGUAAGUUUUAUUUUUGUAUUUAUAGAUUAAUUAAUGUUCUGCUUAUACUCCUAUAAUUUAAAAUUUUCAAUAUUAUCCCUCUAGUUUUAAAAUUACUAAGGUUACCCCCUAAUCGUUAAAAAGCUUACUGUUUAAAAUUGGCUUUUGAAUUUUUCUUUUUUGGGAAUGUUUUUAUGACAUAUAAUAACAUAUAUGGGAAUAUGUGAGAGGAAGUAAAAGAGAAAUGUAAGGAAAAUUGAAAGUUUUGAUAGUUAUUUAAAAAAGGGAAAAAAUGGAAACUAUAAAUUGAAAGGUAGUAUUGAGAUGGAAGUGAAACAUACCUCAUCGGCACUCGACUCUAACAUGAUUUUGUCUUCAAUACCUUUCAAAUAUUUCAUUUUAGCCUGGAGAUAUUCAUGAUCCUUCUCCUCCUUCUCGAUUUUCUUGAAGAUAGCAGUGAAGCAUCAUUUAAUAAUUUAUUGUAAGAAAUUCAAUUAGUCAUCGGUUAAUAAAAACAAAAAUAUAAAAUUAAUCAUUUAUUUCAAAUUUUUCUUAGGCACGAAGGUAUCAGUAUUGACUAGACUCGUUCACAAUCCGAGGAUCAUAAAUGAUAAUGGAUAUUUAAGGUAUAAUUAAUAUCAUAAGAACACUUCGGUGUAGUGCCCAUCUACUUACUAUAAAGAAAGAUUGUGAUUCCUUGUCUAAUUCUAGAAUAACACGUGGUAUUUAGCAAGCUAUUGAGAUAAUAUAUUAUUUUAUUUUAUUUUUCAAGAAUUGAAGCUGAUACCAAGAUUGAUUUGAUGUAAUUUAAAGUUAGAAAUUUGAUUUGGCAACAUAUAACAAGUAGAGUGUUGCCGGAAACAUAGAAUUAGUAUAACCUCUUAUUAACCAUCAUCCAACCGUUUUAAAUUAAAUGACAUCCAAUUAAAAUCACUUUAUUAAUAAAAUGAAGAAAACGAAAUGAAAACAUUCAAAUGGAAAUAAUCUGAUUUGUUAUUUUAUUCUGACGCCUAAAAAAAUGCAGUAUCUAUCUACGUACUUGAGAAGGAUUUUUGGUAUACUUACCUUUGUCAAUUCAAAAAUAACAGGGGGGCCGUCGAAUCCAUUAAUAUCGUACUGUGCGCUCAAGCCAAGAUGUAGCAUGAGAAGGGAGACAUGAGUGAGUAACUCUCCACCUCUUCUUAGUUGAUGAGUAUGUUCUUUCCAUGGACAAUGAGCUGCUGCAUAUGCAACCAUUUCUACCCAAACUUCAUUUAUCAUCCUCCGUCGCGCCUCAGAUUCCAAUCGCAGCAAUUGCCUGGCGAGCCUUUCCACACCACGUAACACUGACUUUUCUGUUUUCCAGACACUUUGAAACCCUCUAUCAUCAUAAACACGUGAUACACUGUUGUGCAAUUCCCGCAAGGUACGUUGAUAUUCCUCAUCAUCAGGACCACGAUCUUUUAGACCCCACAAUCCUCGCAAGGUACGUCGAUAUUCCUCUUCAUCAGGAUCACGAUAUUUUAGACGCCGCAAUUCUCCCAAGGUGGGUAGAUAUUCCUCAUCAUCACCGAAUCCUUUAGAGAGCAUAUUUGGUCUUAUCAGCAAAAGAUACAUCAUGUAUUCAGAUAGGCAUCUGCUUGUUUCAUAUUCUGUGGAGACAUUACUUCCAUCUUUAUCAACAAGAUAACAAAUCUCUGUUGCGAGAUGCCAGACAAGAAUGCUCCGACUGAAUUCUACUUCAGUCGUGCACCACUUGUAGUCCCGUAACAGUCCCUCUCUUUCUAGCACACCAUCUCCCCUCUGACCUAUUAUUUUACUUCUGUCAUUCUUAUCACAGACAUUAAAAUCUUCCUUAAUCUUCUGAGCUUUCUUUCGAAGAUGUUCGAAAAUAAGACCUUGUAGUCCAACAUUCAAAUCUUUCCUAUUCACAUGCAUCUGCCUCAUCAUUUCAUCGAUUCCCAGCAAUUCCAAGCAGAAAUGUGGCUCGCUUUCGAAGGAAGAGCUUAUCAGGUUAUACUGUGAUAUGGAUCUCGACCACCUCUCGCUUCUAGUUAACUUCCUUAUCAGAGAAUAAAUUGCACCAGUCAGGCCGUUCUCUCCUUUAUAAAUCAACCAAAUCAUUGUCCAGUCAGACAAAACAAGGCAUAAAAAAGCAUAUAACUCGAGAAAAACAGCGGCCGCAAACAAUAAAUACGUAAUUGCAAUGUUGGUCGUUGAGUAGUCAUGCUUGUCAAUCUUGACCUGGAAGGUAAUGAACGCAGUAACAGAGAGCAGAGAGCUGAUACAGCGAAGAAUGAUUCCGCCACGGGAGUAAAUCAGAGGCGCUUUAGUAUAAAGCAUAUCAUAUAUCAAUCCAAGCUCAGCCUCUACCACCUUGAAGGCACCGUCUGCUGAAUUUUUGGAAAUCAGCUCCCUGCUACUUAUUAGUGCAGCAAUGCCAGGGACAAGAUCCUGCAUCACAAACUUGGAUGUAUAUGAAAAAACACAAGCUUGAAGAAGAUAAUUUUCCUGGAGAUCUUGUGGAGGAGUUUCUGAUAUUCCCGUACGAUGAUAAGAAUCCCAAAAAUCUCUGAGAGCAGAGUUUUUCAAACUCUUGGAGCAUGAAGACCAGAGCACCCAAGUCCUCUCUGCGUACUUUGCAAUGCCAACAAUGAACAUUGGGAUCGCUAUGAAUGUGAGGAUACCGCUACCCCAGGACCUUGAGAAGACAUAAAAAGCCACUAUGACUUGGACUACAAGACCAAGCAAAUGCCUUAACCACAACUCGUUAUCUUCAAUCGAGUAUGCAGUGAUUGUGUCCGGGCCACCAAGGUGCAGGAGUAGAAAAGGUGCCCAAAAUGCCUGGAUGGAAUUGUUUGCUUUCUCUGAACCGUCACCUGAUGAAUCUCCUUGGCUCCUGGCUAGAUUACCCAGGGCAACAGUUGCCACCACGUCUGCUGAUAGGUAUGCAGACCAAACGAGAAUCCUGAUCCAGCUUCUGCCACUGGUCUUUCGACAAGACCCAAAUAUGAUGAGGAUGGUUUGUAGUAAGAGACUAAGCAAAACCAUUCCUCGAAUCUCCCAAUUGUUCCAUAAAUUUAAGACUUCUUCAGGCAAUUUUUUAAGCAUUGUCAUCUUUUCCUCAACUGUGGAAACUACUUCUCUCGAUGAACCCUUGAAAAAACUAUUUUGUAAGAUGGAAAAGUAAAUGUGGAUAUCUUUGAAAACAUCUCUUAAAAUGAAUAGCGAAAGGGCUCUUAUGUGAAAAGAAUUCUGCAGUAGAUUUUGGGUAAGGUAUCAUAAAAUAGGAUUUGCUGCAUAUUGUUGUUGCAGCAUGCAAAGAAAAAGGUAUGGGAUGCAUUACAAAUUAAUAUUUGGAAGUGAAUUCCGGGAUAUAUCUCCUUUAACUUAAAGCUUGCAUUACCAGCUUUUGCAAACCAAGUUACAUGUACAAGCAAGAAUUUGGUACCUGUCAUGGGUACAAAGCAACGAAGAGAUGCUAAAUAGUAAGGAAGAGAUGCAAAAUAGUAAGAAAGAGAUGCUGCCAGAAUGAAGAGACUUUAAAUUAGUUGCUUUCCCCCCUUUUUCUUUUCUUGAUAGACAAUAGACAUCGCUUUCUGGACACUCAAAGAAGGAAUUCUGAAAAUCAAUAUGAUGUUUGAGCACUAAACUUCCCUAAAUAUUUUUCGUUUAACUAAAGCAUGUUUUAUAAUAACAUAUCUAAUAAUAUAAGAUACCUUUAAUUUGUGGUAAAUAUUCAUUUUAAAUGCAGGCCUAUCACAUAAAUAAAAGUAUUGAUUGAUGAGUUUAAGAACUGAAAUUGAAAGGACAAAGAGAUGGCCAAAUUUAGAAAAGAGAUGUUGGUGCAGUCCAAACCGGAACACUGUUCGGUAAUUGGGUUGUAUCUAGAGCUGUAGAUCUCGGAUUUAGGUCUACUUUAUAUGGAUGGAAAUGUAAGACAUAGGCCUACAACUUUUAGAGGAGCUCAAGAUUUAAAAAGACCAUUUUCAAGUCCAAAUUGUAGCAACAACAAAGAAGUUUGAAUCUGUCCUGCAGCCCGAAUACUGUUCAGUGUUUGGCCCAUAUCUGGAGUUCUAGAAGUCCAAAUAACCUCUAUUUUUUUUUUGGAAAGCUGAGACAAUUUCCUACAACUUUCAUGUUUUCAAGUGGUUCCAAUUCUGACGUUAUCAAUGAUGUUUUGGGUAGACAAACGAAGAUAAAGAUUAUCAAGAGUUGGCCACCCACUCAUCAAUUAGUCAUCAAAUCAAUAAUUCAUAAUUUUGGCCUAUAAAAGGAGGUAUUUGCCAUGCAUAUAGGCAUCUUGGUCUCAUACUCCAUCAGUCAAAGGACAAAAGUGCAAGUGAGCUUCGNNNNNNNNNNNNNNNNNNNNNNNNNNNNNNNNNNNNNNNNNNNNNNNNNNNNNNNNNNNNNNNNNNNNNNNNNNNNNNNNNNNNNNNNNNNNNNNNNNNNAAGGAGAUCGCCAGAUGGGAUCUCAAGAUAGGAAAAAAAGAGAGAAUGUUUAUUUAUUUUUCUUUCUUUCAUUAUGUUUGGUUAAGUUUAUUAUGUCAAGGUGAAAAGGUUAUACUAAUGGUGUAAAAAUAAGUAUAGUAUAAGCUUAAUGUUGCUACCCAAUUUUUGACCCAUGUUUUGAUAAAUUUUCAAAAAAUUCCAAAAAUAGCAAAAAACAUUGAAAAUCCAAAAAAUACAUUUUUAAUACAUUUGCAUCGUUUUUAGCAUUUUUAGCAUCGUCUCAAAAGAAUUUAAAUUUUCAAAGACAUUUGGAACACGUUCAACUUUUAACGCGUUAUUUUUAAAAUCAUUGAUUUUCUUCAUUGAGUCGACGUUGAUAUUGCUCGCUUUCAAAAAUACAAAAAAAUAAGAAAAAUCAAAAUUUACCAAAAAAAAAAGAGGAAAAGAGAAGAAAGGAAAGGUUGAGGGACUAGUUUGAAAACCUAGCAAAACUUUUCCUAUAAAUACCAUGCUAUACUGAUUUUGUGAAAUGGGGGGCAUUUUUGACAACAAAAAAAAGAAGAAAAAACAUAACCCUAAAAAAAAAACCUAAUCUCCUUCUCUUCAAGGGCUGCCGCCGCCCCCCACACCCCCCGGUUGAAAAUUUUCCCUUACCUUCCAGCCCGUUCUUCUCCCACCGAACCAGCGACCACUCCUCCUCUCCCUGCUCAGCGACUCCAUUUAGACCCGCAGCCGUCCACUUCCAUUUUUCUUCUUCCCUCUCCGUCUUUCCCCUUCUCUCAGCCGCCUGCACAAGCCUCCAUUUUCGCAGCCGGUUCUCUCCCAAACAGCCGGUCUUCUCUCCUCUUCCAGCCGCGCACUGAUCCACUUCCUCCCUCUCGGCUACGGCAGAUUUCCUUUCUCCUCCCCACAGCUGCUCCCUCACCAAGCCGUUCAGCCUCCAUCUUCCCUUUUUCCAGCCGCUGACCAGCCUCGACAGCUUCUCCACCGUCACCUACAGACCCACAAGACAGCCCCGUUCUCACCAGUGAGCCAGCAGCCCACACACGGCAGCGCCGGGGCAACACUUUCGUCAUCUCCUUCAACCGGUCAGCAGCAGCCCCGUUCUCACCAGUGAGCCAGCAGCCCACACACGGCAGCGCCGGGGCAACACUUUCGUCAUCUCCUUCAACCGGUCAGCAGCAGCCCUUCUCCAGCAACGGCACCCACAGACCGGCCACCAGCAGCAGCAGCCGAUCUCCUUCACCGCCGGUCGCCAGCCUCCAGCACUCCUUGCUGCCAGUACAUGGAACAAGGGAGAAGAGGAUGAGCAGUAGCAGCUGAUCUGCAACGAAGCAGACCCAAAAGAGGCCGUGACAGAUCUGAAAAAAAGGAGAGCCGAAAUUGUUUGCGUUGUUGGUUUACUUUGCAGGUGACUGGGAGAUGCACCGCCGGUACGGACGAGAAGAGGAGAAGGAGACGAUCCCGAUCUACUAGCUUGCUGGUCUUCACCGGCGGCGGCGCGUGGACCCACGCGCCGCCACUGUUCCUGCGGCACUGUUCCGGCUUGCAGAAGUCCUUCCCUGCAAUUUCUGGAGUUUUAGGGACCAUUUUUGUAAUUUGUAAAUUAUGUAAUGUAAUUUUUGUUUAGUGUUGAAAUUUUUUUUUUAAUUUGUAAUGUGGAUGUAACAAAGAAAAGAAAAGAAAGAAAAGAAAAGAAAAGAAAAAGAAAUGUUUGUGUGUGUUUGUUUUUUUAUUUAUAUUAUUGAAUUAUAAAAAAAAAGGACAAAAAGAAUUAAUUGUUAAUUUAAAUAUGGUUAAAUAUCUCAAGGACAAAUAAAAUCAAGUUGUAUUUUCCAUGAAAAUAUAAGAACAAGUUUCUAUAUAUAUUCGGGGAUUUAAUAACUGAUUUAUUCAAGCCUUAGAAUUUAAUUAAUAUUUUAAAUUUUCAAAUCACAUCAGAACACAAAGCAGCUUACCUCAGGUAGGGUGUGUUAGGGUGCUAAUACCUUCCCUAACCACAACCAGUCCCUUACCCGCAAAUCUCUGAUAAGACCAGUACAUCAGGUUUCCUAGUAGCCCUCAAUAAAUUACUAGGUGGCGACUCCAACGAACCAAAUUCAAGCAAGCAAAACGCAACAACGAUAAAAUCGCCAGCCGAUGCCGCGCGGAUGAUUUUUUGACGUGCGACAGAAUGACGACUCCACUGGGGACAGGUAAUGUUUUCAACAUUAUUGGACUAAGCUUUGUGUAUUUGAUGUGUUUAUGUUUUUGCAUUUUUGUCUUGUUUUAUUUUUGUUUUAUUCUUGCAUUUUGUAGAAUUGUCUCAUGCAUCACAUAUUUUAAUUUUUUAAAGCACACACAAUCUUCAGGUUAGGAGGGGGACUAGCAGCUUGCCUUAUGACUUGAGCCAAGGUUUAAGUUUGUGUAAACCCCAACUCUUUGCUGAGUGUUUAGACUGAUAGUGAUUGGUACAUGUGCCAUCCCACUAUCUGCUGAACCCCUAUAUUGUCUUUACAAGGGCGAUCACUGGGACAGCGAGAGACCCUUUUUAGAGACCAAGUAGUAAACCUACCUCUUGUCUCACUUAAAGAUUAGAACCUCCCGUUAGGAUGUAUGCUUCGUAAAUAGUUGUUUUGCAUUUGAGCAAGCCCUUCUUGAAGCAUCUUGAAUUCAGGACUUGUGGGUGACCCAAUGGUCGUCACUCAGAAAAUUUUCAUUGUAGAGUUUGGGCAAGAAUAAGAUUCUUGUUUCAUCAUACAAGAGUUACGACCAUAUGUCACCCCUCGAAGGGCGAGUUCUUCAUAUAGAUUACAUGUUCAUACAUUUAUCAUGCAUGUACCAUGAGGAAAAAUAGGUUCCCCUGUCCGAGGUUUGCUACACGUGAUUGAAAAAGAUGAUGGAAAUGAAGAAAUAUGUUAGAUAGAGGCUCAUUAUCACAAAGAAAGUUGAGAGCAUUAAAGGUGAAGUAGCUAGGCUCAGAUCUGCCUGAACAAGUGUUGAGCAUCAAAUGGAAAGGAAAUGUCUGCACAGUUUUCUGUGGGAACACUGCUCGUCCACGUCCUAUUGAAGCUGCACCUCUCCUUUUCAGUCAUGAACCACGACAACGAUGCCUUCAGUCAUAACUAAUGACAACUUUUGUUCUCGGUCAAUUGCCCUGUUAAUUGUUCAUCGCCUCCACAUCUUUCAAUGGCACCAAAUAAUUGCUAGCCUUAUGUGCAUGAUGCAUUAGCCUUCUUUGAGGUUACCCUCACUGCGAGCUUAAUUCCAGUUCAGCAAAAAAAAAAAAAACAAAAAAAAAAACAAAAAAAAACAAAAAAAAAACAAAAAAACCAUGAUUAGACACUGAACUUCAAUGUGGCAGAGCUCUCUCUACAAAAAUCUGUUUAUGGCUCUGCAAGUUGGGAAAUGCAAGAGGGGAUUUAUAAGUUGCAUAUGUUAUAAAAAUCUCUCAUCAGUUUCAGCACAAAGACACCGUGGUAGGUUGAAGAGUCAGACCUGGUCUGAAAAACAUGAGCAGACAUCAAACUUCUACGUUGCAGAGCUCUCUCUGUAGAGAUUUGUUUGGGGAUCUGCCAGUGGGGCAUGCAAGAGGGGAUGCACUAUUUUCAUAUGCUAUAAAACUUUGUCUCAUCAGUUUCAGCACCGAAACACUGCAGUAGGUUGAAGAGCCAGACAUGGUCUGAAAAACAUGAACAAACACCAAACUUCUACGUUGCAGAGCUCUCUCUGUAGAGAUUUGUUUGGGGAUCUGCCAGUGGGACAUGCAAGAGGGGAUGCAUUAUUUUCAUAUGCUAUAAAACUUUGUCUCAUCAGUUUCAGCACCGAAACACUGGAGUAGGCCGAAGAGUCAGACCUAGUCUUAAAACAUGAGCAGUCGUCGAACUUUGACGUGGCAGAGCUCUCUCUACAAAAACCCGUUUAUGGCUCUGCAAGUGGGAAAUUCAAGAGGGGAUGUAGUAGUUCCAGACAAUGUGAAAAGUUACCCCACCAGUUUCAGCAUCGAAACACUGUAGUAGGCAGAAAAGCCAGACUUGAGCUAGAAAACAGGAGCAAAUAUAGAACUUCACCGUGGCAGAGCUCUCUCUGCAGAAAUCUGUUUGUAGAUCUGCAAGUGGAGAAUCCAAGAAGGGGUGCAGUAGUUUCUGAUCAUCUAUAAUUUUCUCUCAUCGGUGUUAGCUUGAAAAUGCAAAAGAAGGGAAAAGAGACAGACCUCGGCUGAAAAAUAGAAAGAAGAUUGAAACUUCAACAGAGCAGAGCUCCCUCUACAGGUGUCUGUUUGCUGCACCGUCAGUGAGGAAUCAAAGAGGAGACAAAGGAGUUUUAGAUUCAUCAGGUUCUCUUCCAGUUUUGACAAUGUGUGAUUCCACACGUCGGUAAUGGCAAUGCCACAUGUUUCUGGGCACUGCCAAGAUUACCAAGCUAUUGAAAGGUUUCCGACAACCCUCAACCAACCACAACAACAUUGAAAUAUUAACAUGAAGUUGUGUGUAUUUCCAAAAGAAUUGAGCUAGCUAUCAGAGAGAAAGAUUGAAGGAUCUACCAUGGAUUCCUUAACAGUGAAGAGAUGAAUCANNNNNNNNNNNNNNNNNNNNNNNNNNNNNNNNNNNNNNNNNNNNNNNNNNNNNNNNNNNNNNNNNNNNNNNNNNNNNNNNNNNNNNNNNNNNNNNNNNNNNNNNNNNNNNNNNNNNNNNNNNNNNNNNNNNNNNNNNNNNNNNNNNNNNNNNNNNNNNNNNNNNNNNNNNNNNNNNNNNNNNNNNNNNNNNNNNNNNNNNNNNNNNNNNNNNNNNNNNNNNNNNNNNNNNNNNNNNNNNNNNNNNNNNNNNNNNNNNNNNNNNNNNNNNNNNNNNNNNNNNNNNNNNNNNNNNNNNNNNNNNNNNNNNNNNNNNNNNNNNNNNNNNNNNNNNNNNNNNNNNNNNNNNNNNNNNNNNNNNNNNNNNNNNNNNNNNNNNNNNNNNNNNNNNNNNNNNNNNNNNNNNNNNNNNNNNNNNNNNNNNNNNNNNNNNNNNNNNNNNNNNNNNNNNNNNNNNNNNNNNNNNNNNNNNNNNNNNNNNNNNNNNNNNNNNNNNNNNNNNNNNNNNNNNNNNNNNNNNNNNNNNNNNNNNNNNNNNNNNNNNNNNNNNNNNNNNNNNNNNNNNNNNNNNNNNNNNNNNNNNNNNNNNNNNNNNNNNNNNNNNNNNNNNNNNNNNNNNNNNNNNNNNNNNNNNNNNNNNNNNNNNNNNNNNNNNNNNNNNNNNNNNNNNNNNNNNNNNNNNNNNNNNNNNNNNNNNNNNNNNNNNNNNNNNNNNNNNNNNNNNNNNNNNNNNNNNNNNNNNNNNNNNNNNNNNNNNNNNNNNNNNNNNNNNNNNNNNNNNNNNNNNNNNNNNNNNNNNNNNNNNNNNNNNNNNNNNNNNNNNNNNNNNNNNNNNNNNNNNNNNNNNNNNNNNNNNNNNNNNNNNNNNNNNNNNNNNNNNNNNNNNNNNNNNNNNNNNNNNNNNNNNNNNNNNNNNNNNNNNNNNNNNNNNNNNNNNNNNNNNNNNNNNNNNNNNNNNNNNNNNNNNNNNNNNNNNNNNNNNNNNNNNNNNNNNNNNNNNNNNNNNNNNNNNNNNNNNNNNNNNNNNNNNNNNNNNNNNNNNNNNNNNNNNNNNNNNNNNNNNNNNNNNNNNNNNNNNNNNNNNNNNNNNNNNNNNNNNNNNNNNNNNNNNNNNNNNNNNNNNNNNNNNNNNNNNNNNNNNNNNNNNNNNNNNNNNNNNNNNNNNNNNNNNNNNNNNNNNNNNNNNNNNNNNNNNNNNNNNNNNNNNNNNNNNNNNNNNNNNNNNNNNNNNNNNNNNNNNNNNNNNNNNNNNNNNNNNNNNNNNNNNNNNNNNNNNNNNNNNNNNNNNNNNNNNNNNNNNNNNNNNNNNNNNNNNNNNNNNNNNNNNNNNNNNNNNNNNNNNNNNNNNNNNNNNNNNNNNNNNNNNNNNNNNNNNNNNNNNNNNNNNNNNNNNNNNNNNNNNNNNNNNNNNNNNNNNNNNNNNNNNNNNNNNNNNNNNNNNNNNNNNNNNNNNNNNNNNNNNNNNNNNNNNNNNNNNNNNNNNNNNNNNNNNNNNNNNNNNNNNNNNNNNNNNNNNNNNNNNNNNNNNNNNNNNNNNNNNNNNNNNNNNNNNNNNNNNNNNNNNNNNNNNNNNNNNNNNNNNNNNNNNNNNNNNNNNNNNNNNNNNNNNNNNNNNNNNNNNNNNNNNNNNNNNNNNNNNNNNNNNNNNNNNNNNNNNNNNNNNNNNNNNNNNNNNNNNNNNNNNNNNNNNNNNNNNNNNNNNNNNNNNNNNNNNNNNNNNNNNNNNNNNNNNNNNNNNNNNNNNNNNNNNNNNNNNNNNNNNNNNNNNNNNNNNNNNNNNNNNNNNNNNNNNNNNNNNNNNNNNNNNNNNNNNNNNNNNNNNNNNNNNNNNNNNNNNNNNNNNNNNNNNNNNNNNNNNNNNNNNNNNNNNNNNNNNNNNNNNNNNNNNNNNNNNNNNNNNNNNNNNNNNNNNNNNNNNNNNNNNNNNNNNNNNNNNNNNNNNNNNNNNNNNNNNNNNNNNNNNNNNNNNNNNNNNNNNNNNNNNNNNNNNNNNNNNNNNNNNNNNNNNNNNNNNNNNNNNNNNNNNNNNNNNNNNNNNNNNNNNNNNNNNNNNNNNNNNNNNNNNNNNNNNNNNNNNNNNNNNNNNNNNNNNNNNNNNNNNNNNNNNNNNNNNNNNNNNNNNNNNNNNNNNNNNNNNNNNNNNNNNNNNNNNNNNNNNNNNNNNNNNNNNNNNGCUGGGGGCAAAGAAAAAUCAGAUGAUGAGUCGUCAAAGUCCAUCAAAGUUAUGUUUAGCAUCUGACAAUGACAAAGAAAAACUUGUUGAGUAUAAACAGAUGAACAAGCAUUCAGAUCAUUACUGGGGGCAAUGUUGUUCAAAGACAGUCAGUGAUUUAGUGAACUUCAGCAGCAAUUGAUGAGCAACGCUGCACUUGAAGGACAUUUUAUUAUCUUCAUCUUGGGGUUACCCUUUGAAACAUGGCUAUGACAGAUGUUAUCUCAUAGUUGCAUUAGAAUGAAUGUCAGAAAGAUGCACCCACCAAGACUGACUGUGGGACCAUUUGCUGUGAAGCUCAAAUGCACACUUCACCGCAUGAAUAUGGGUGAUGAACAUCAUUGAUGAUGCCAACGCAUUUCCUUUCAUGAUCUGAUUUGACAAAGCUGAGAGGAAUCCAUGGAGAAUAACACUGAGCAUACAACCAUGAGCCUUUGUACUGCAAGCUAUGAGAUGCAUGUCUGGAUGAUUGGAUAGUUUCAAUGAAGACUGGUGAUAACAUAUACUUGAAGAGUAUUGUUUCAACUGGGGGCAAGUUCAUGACUGGUUGAUCAUCUUGAUGGGUGUUGGCAUGAUGCACACAACCAAUCAGAAGAUAAUUUUCAAAAGAAUCCAAAAAAAAUCCUUCAUGAUGAAUCAAGCAACACCACACUUGGGGGCAUGGUCAAGCUUGAUAAACAGCGAGAGCAGUAAUCGUCGUGGACAGCCCGAGAUGGGCACUGCACUUACAUUUGAGUGGAAGGCUAGCACACGAAUGAGCCAGUACAUGGGAAGAGCAAAGAAGGCUUUGGUUAGCAAACAAAGGCACCCUAUGACGAUGGAUCAUCAAGGGGGUAACCUACAUUUCACAUCAGGUAAGGAUGCAAGCAUGUCAUCUAACCUCAAAGCAUUGCACAUACUUGUGAUUUGUUACAGAAAGAUCCUCAAUGAAGUCCAGCAAGGUUGUGGACAAAGAAAGAAUCAUUGAGUUGAUGAUGAAAGAAUCGGUUAAGAUCCUGGAACGAGAAGAGAAUGAGAUGAACCCUGCCAGUAGGAGAAUCUCAAAGCAACGAGGAGGUUAACCCAGUCAUCAAGGAGUCUUCAAGUCAACCUGCAACCAGAAGGUGCCAAGUUUCUCAGCCUUGUCCUGUCAGGACUGCUUCAACCAAGUCUUUUUGCCAGGUAAGUCACAUUCUAUCUUUGGGUAGGUCACCCGUAACAAUGAGACCAUUUUUUUGAAAAACAAAAACAUCAUUUUUUCUGGGUAGGUCACCCAUCACAAUGAGACCACCAUCUUCCAUUUGGGUAGGUCACCCAUUAUAACGCGACCACUUCACAUUUUUUCUAUCCUCCAUCUGGGUAGGUCACCCAUAAUAAUGAGACCACUUCACAUUUUUCUCAUCUUCCAUCUGGGUAGGUCACCCAUUAUAACACGACCACUUCACAUUUUUUCUAUCUCCCACCUGGGUAGGUCACCCAUUAUAACGCGACCACUUCACAUUUUUUUUCUAUCUUCCAUCUGGGUAGGUCACCCAUUAUAAUGAGAUCGCACUUCACAUUCUUUCCACCUGGGUAGGUCACCCAUCAUAAUAAGACCAUCAUUCAUCUGGGUAGGUCACCCAUCAUAAUGAGACCAUCAUUUUCCACUUGGGUAGGUCACCCAUCAUAAUGAGACCAUCAUUUUUUCUGGGUAGGUCACCCAUUAGAAUGAGACCAUUCUCCAUCUUUUUUUACUUGGGUAGGUCACCCAUUAUAAUGAGGCCAUUCUUCCCCCUGGGUAGGUCACCCAUAAGAAUGAGACCACUCUUCCCCUUUUCCACUUGGGUAGGUCACCCAUCACAAUGAGACCAUUUGUUCUGGGUAGGUCACCCAUUAGAAUGAGACCAUUCUCCAUUUUUUUUACUUGGGUAGGUCACCCAUUAUAAUGAGGCCAUUCUUUCCCCUGGGUAGGUCACCCAUAAGAAUGAGACCACUCUUCUCCUUUUCCACUUGGGUAGGUCACCCAUCACAAUGAGACCAUUUUUUAUGGGUAGGUCACCCAUUAGAAUGAGACCAUUCUCCAUCUUUUUUUACUUGGGUAGGUCACCCAUUAUAAUGAGGCCAUUCUUCCCCUGGGUAGGUCACCCAUAAGAAUGAGACCACUCUUCCCUUCUUUCCAUUUGGGUAGGUCACCCAUCAUAAUGAGACCAUUUUUCACAUUCUUUCCACCUGGGUAGGUCACCCAUUACAAUGAGACCACUUUUUACACAUUUUUUUAGUCUUGAUUUAAUGAGGUCGCCAGAUGGGAUCUCAUGUAGCUUUGGUUAAAGGAAAUCGCCAGAUGGGAUUUCAGGUUGACCGAGUUACACACUUAUUCUUUGUUUUGGUUUAAUGAGGUCGCCAGAUGGGAUCUCAUGUAGCUUUGGUUAAAGGGAAUCGCCAGAUGGGAUUUCAGGUUGACCGAGCUACACACAUUCUUUGGUUUUGGAAAAGGAGAUCGCCAGAUGGGAUCUCAAGAUAAGAAAAAAAGAGAGAAAGAAAGAAGAAAAAAAAAAGAAACAUUUAGAGUUUUUCUUUACAAAGCUUACUAUGCGAAACAUUGAGGAGUUUCGCUUCGUAAGCAUUGUAAAGAGGGGGCAUCUGUUGCUACCCAAUUUUUGACCCAUGUUUUGAUAAAUUUUCAAAAAAUUCCAAAAAUAGCAAAAAACAUUGAAAAUCCAAAAAAUACAUUUUUAAUACAUUUGCAUCGUUUUUAGCAUUUUUAGCAUCGUCUCAAAAGAAUUUAAAUUUUCAAAGACAUUUGGAACACGUUCAACUUUUAACGCGUUAUUUUUAAAAUCAUUGAUUUUCUUCAUUGAGUCGACGUUGAUAUUGCUCGCUUUCAAAAAUACAAAAAAAUAAGAAAAAUCAAAAUUUACCAAAAAAAAAAGAGGAAAAGAGAAGAAAGGAAAGGUUGAGGGACUAGUUUGAAAACCUAGCAAAACUUUUCCUAUAAAUACCAUGCUAUACUGAUUUUGUGAAAUGGGGGGCAUUUUUGACAACAAAAAAAAGAAGAAAAAACAUAACCCUAAAAAAAAAACCUAAUCUCCUUCUCUUCAAGGGCUGCCGCCGCCCCCCACACCCCCCGGUUGAAAAUUUUCCCUUACCUUCCAGCCCGUUCUUCUCCCACCGAACCAGCGACCACUCCUCCUCUCCCUGCUCAGCGACUCCAUUUAGACCCGCAGCCGUCCACUUCCAUUUUUCUUCUUCCCUCUCCGUCUUUCCCCUUCUCUCAGCCGCCUGCACAAGCCUCCAUUUUCGCAGCCGGUUCUCUCCCAAACAGCCGGUCUUCUCUCCUCUUCCAGCCGCGCACUGAUCCACUUCCUCCCUCUCGGCUACGGCAGAUUUCCUUUCUCCUCCCCACAGCUGCUCCCUCACCAAGCCGUUCAGCCUCCAUCUUCCCUUUUUCCAGCCGCUGACCAGCCUCGACAGCUUCUCCACCGUCACCUACAGACCCACAAGACAGCCCCGU
RNAcentral lists this long non-coding RNA (57267 nucleotides) under Populus trichocarpa (black cottonwood). Its description in RNAcentral is "long non-coding RNA (PTRI_LNC003512)". The record is from RNAcentral. Lineage: Eukaryota; Viridiplantae; Streptophyta; Magnoliopsida; Malpighiales; Salicaceae.